This 61015-nucleotide long non-coding RNA is filed under the name Volvox carteri. Its description in RNAcentral is "long non-coding RNA (VCAR_LNC003622)". The stretch from base 60387 to 60458 matches the Rfam family "tRNA". Lineage: Eukaryota; Viridiplantae; Chlorophyta; Chlorophyceae; Chlamydomonadales; Volvocaceae. The record is from RNAcentral.
CCCUCCCCCCUUCNNNNNNNNNNNNNNNNNNNNNNNNNNNNNNNNNNNNNNNNNNNNNNNNNNCAACAAAACAUGUUGCCCAUGGUGCCCAACAAGUACGGGUUCGUACAGAACUGGCGGAAGGGAAGAUACCGCACACGCCAGUCUUCACUGGCCACCUGAGGGACGUCACGUGGCGUGGAGGGAGGGGCCGUGGAGGGAGAGCAAGACGGGGAAAUCCCAGGUGAGGACUGGGGGGGGGAGGCGGCGGCAACCUCAUAAGGCUUUCCCCGGCUAGCCAUAAAACACACAUAUAUAAAACAUUCAACAGCUCUGCAGCCAUCAGCCUUUUUUCCACGUAAAUAUGGUGUAACGUCUUACCUGCAGCUGGCGCCCCUUCUGAGUGCGAAUGCACGAAUUUGGCAAUGAAUGCAUACUUCCCAUGCGUGUCGUACACCAUACUACCGUACUUCCGUACCUGUCUUGCGCGUAAUCGUAUCCGUUUGCCGCGCGGGCCCAUGGAUUUCGUGUGGAGGAAAUGACGUAAUAGGAGUUCCACAUGGCGUCGUGGGUAAGUCCGCGCGCCUCCAUCUCCUCCUCCGAAAAUGGCUUCAUACACAUGACUUUCUGGGAUUUGCACGCGGUCUUGAAUGUGUCUAACACGGUCGUCGAGGCUGCUUUGCGGUUGCGGAUGAAGAUCAGCUUGUAGUCGUGGUUGACAAAGACGCCGCAUCUGUAGGACAUGGGCGCUGGCACCGUGACGUUCUCCCGGUAAACCACCUUGAGUAGUAGCCAGUCACGGAAGGCGCUCUGGUUAAAAAGCUUCUCGUCAUAGCGUUCCGCGGGCAGAGGACCAGACUUCUUAACCUCGCCAUAAACUUUGCUGGACACAGUGAUGAGGUCGCUGUAGUAGUCCGAUGGCGAUUGCGGCAGCUCUAUCGGAGGAAGGCCUUUCGAUGCGCUUAUAGUUGUAAGGAAUGCGCUGAUGAUGGAGAGCAGCUGCCAGAGGGAGCUGUGCUACAGCCAGGGAUGCGACCGUAUUCCAUAUUAAUACGCCAGCUAAUACGCCCGUAUUAAUACGCCGAAUACGCCAGCCAGUUGGGGCUGUUUAUGCGUUGGCGUAUUGUUGGCGUAUUGUCGGCGUAUUGUUUGUCGUUGGGUUGUCGUACAGUCUGAAAACUCGCCGAUUUUGAGAAAUAUCGAGCUAUUGACAUUCCCGAGUCAUUAGUGUCAUUAGUUGAUACUUAGGAUUAGGUAAUAGGUUCGCUUAUCAUUGGGUUUGCAACAUACCGAAAUGGAAAACGUGUGCGAAGCAAAACGCGCUAAACCGGGACCUAAUUCCCCUGGUUCGACUGGACCAAGCAGCCGCUGGAGCUCAACCCUGGCCAGAAGGCGAUGUCGUUCGCCGUGGGGGAGUGAGGAGGCUUUAGGGGGGUGUGGUCUGUCGUCUGUGGUGUUGGCCUGACACCCAAGCUUCGGCUUGUGGGACCGGCUGGUAUGUACGGAAACUGGUACAGUACGGCAGCUUGCUGUACGGGAUAAAACCUGUAACUCGGGGCGUUUCAGGUCGCGAGGGCCCCCCUCGAGGGAGAAGAUGGGCUCUGUGGCAUCUGAAACCCAGAACGUGUCACGCACGACACGACGCGUCGCUAAACACAUGGCACGUGUCCGUGCCUACCCGCCCCACCUCAUACGGCCACAUUGGUUGCCCCCACGACAGGCCUGUACGACACCGUGGAGGGCCUGUCGUACUUUGUACGGUGCGCACCCUGCGCUGGAGCUUACGAUGCUGACGUCCGCACAGCAGGGUUGCGUGUACGACGACGAGUGUUUAGAAGUACGGCCGGUCUGGAGGAACUCGCUGCUGUGGCAGGUACCCCCCUGGCUAAGUACGGCAGAUCUGGCCGCGGGAUCAGCGAGCGGUGGCGCCGCGGGGGCCCAACAGCGGUUUCGGAGCUCUGCAUGUAAUCCUGCGAACGUAACCGCAGCUCCGGAACCAUUUGGCGACGAUGGCGGCGACGGCGUGAUCGGGCCGGAGGAGGGGGCCGAUGGAGAUUCGGAUUGGAUGCUCAACGCGCGGCCACGAAAGCGGAAGAGGCCGCGGCGACGUCAGGGGGGUGGAGCUCGCUUAGGCGAGGCACUAGGCAUGGCUGGGGCUGGGGCCCCGCAACAAAGAAUCGCAGCCGAGGACGGGGCUGAGGAGAGGCCGCUGCCGCCGCGGCGGCGGCGGCGGCGGCUGUACGACAGCAGCGGCGGAGGUGCCGACGUCGCUGUCACGAAGAAUCCGGGGCAGCUCAAUAGCAGCAGCAGUAGUGAGGAUGAGGGCGAGGGCGGGGGAAAGGUGGGGGCAAUGUCGUGCCUAGGCACACUGCCAUCUUUGCAUGCGCUCCGUGCCUCAAUCCAGAGGGCUUCGGCGGCGGCGGCGGCCCUUCGUGCGGCGUACGACACUGUAUCCGGAGGGAAAGAAGCGCCGCCAUCGGUGUCGGAGGUGUCGUGGGAUUUAGGAUCCUGCAGUACGGCAAAUACUACCGCCUGCGACGGCGGGGAGGAGGCGGAAGAGGGCCCGAAAAGAAUGAGCGGCAGUAGCGGUGGCGAUGGCAGCAGCAGUAGCAGCAAGGGUGGGGUCCCUGAGAGUGGUGGAGAUAGCAGCAGCGAUGCGAGUGACGGCGGAGGUACGCGGAGCGACACGGAGGGCAAUGGCGAUAGCAAUGAGGGUGUGGCGGCGGCGGCGGCGGCGCUGGAUCGCCGCCGCGGCCGCGGCCGUCCCGGGAGAAACGGCACAGUCUCCGCAGCUACUGCUACUGCAGCUGUUGCCGCAGCGGCGGCGGGAGCUGGUGGCGGGAGGCCGCACGGCAGUAGCAAGAUACGGGGUGACCACCUGGAUCUGUUUUCUGAAUUGGAUCGUUUGUUCAUGGCCAGCGGCCCAGCGGAGCGUCGUCCAGCGGGGGUGUACGGAGUCGUACGACAGGGUCGCGCGGCAUCAGGCGGAGGCGCUGCCGCCGCCAGGCGCAGCGGUCGUGUGCUGGCUGCAGCUGUCGGCGGCGGCGGUGGUGGCGGCGCGGCGGCGGCGCCGCUGCCGCCACCACCAGGACCUGCGGCAACUUUGACCUCGAAGGUGGCGCUGCGGUCGCAGGUUCUUGAGCGCCUUAGAUCCGCGGUCACCGGUCAUCACCUGGAAACCAGAGCUACGCUGCCGCCGCAAGGUGUACGGCGCACGGCGGCAGCAGCGGCGGCGGCGGCGGCAACCCCUAGCAGCACCGUCGCCGCCAGGCGGGUGACGCUGCCAGGGCUGCAGCAGCCGCCGCCGUCGUCAACGCGACAACCGCCGCCGCCGCUGCCACAACCGCCACCACAGCCAAGCAAGGCCACCCGGCCGCCAGACGACAACCCGCUUGCCUACCUCCUCUACCUGAAACACACCCGUCAGGCGGUGCUGGUAGUUGCCGCCGGCGACUUGGGUGCCGUACGGUCGCUGGCGGCUCACCCCGUGUCGAAGCUGCUGCGCCGAGCGCCGUCGGGGUUACUGCUCGCGGUAACGCACGUGGCGGCGGCGGAGGUGACGUGGCAGCGGCGGUACCGCCAGCUGGCGGAGCGGCAGCUGCCCGGGCCGCACGUGUGGCUCAAGCCUGCCGCCACCGCGGCGACGACGGCGGCGGCGGCGGCUGUGCCGCCGCCGCCGCUGGCAGGACUUGGCCAUUUGGGUUCCGCUAGGGUGACGAUGCGGCUCAACGCGGUGGCACCGGCCAUCUUUCCGUUGCCGUACGAGCUGCGUGUACGGCAAUGUGCGGCGGCGGCGCGACGUGGCGUGGCGAGUGAGGACGUUGGGGAACGUGGGGUGGACGCUGUGGACCGGCAGCUGGAGGACAACAUUGCUGCUGCCGCCACCGCCACGGCGGCGGCAAGGGAACCGGCGGCGUUGCGCGAGGUGUUGUCAAAUGCGGGCGACAAGCCUACAGAGCCCAGUCCCCAGCCGUUACACGGCCAGCGGCAACAGCCACCGCCGCCGCCACCAGCGCUGGCGGAGCCGGAAGAUCGGCCUCAGCUGCAGCUCGUUGCGGAGCGUGAUGAGCCGCGGGAGGGCACUGAACCAGCAGCUACAGCCACAACGGUGGUUGGUAACGGGCACGUGGCGGUGACGGCGGCGGCGGCGGCCGUACAUCGACCGAUGGGUCGCAAGGCCAAUGGCGACCGCCAUAGGGCUGCUGGGAUCAUCACGCAACGCCGCAACACGGUCAAAAGCCGUGUCGCGUCGCUGCUAGAUACGCUGACGGCGACGUGCGUUGUCGUACAACAUGGCGGCGGCUGUAGCGGCGGCGGCGGUGGCGUUGGCGGCACCGGAGGAAAAUCCCGGGGCUUCUCAACUUCCAACACAGAUGAUGACAGCAGUAGCAGUAGCAGUAGCGGUAGCGGCGGAGAGCAAGAGAGGCAGCAGCAGAUCCAGAAGGAGGAAAAGAAGCACGAGUGUCAGCGGCUGGUAGCGGCAGCGGUCCUGGUACAUUGGUGGGAUGACGGCCCGGGCGAUGGCGGCGGUGGCGGCGGCAGGCUGGGAAACGACGCAGCGGCGGCGGCGGACUUGGUUCCGGAGCAGAUGCUUCCGCCGGUGGCGGAGGUGCAGCGGAGGCUGUUGUUGGAGAGAAGAGAUACCGGGUUGUUGCAGAUGUUGCAGGUGGGCGCCUGUGUGUGGGUAUGUAUGUAUGUAUGUAUGUAUGUGAGAUUGUUGGAUGCGGGGAUUGUAUGUGAGGAGCAGCAGCAGCAUGAGGAGGAGGAGGAGGGUGAGGCGGAGGAGGCCCAGUGCCCAUGCUGUGUCCGCGUUGGUGUUGGCUGUAACGAGGUCGUUAAGGGGGCCGCAGGGUUUUCCGUUGGGUUGGUUGGUCGGUUGGUUGGUUAGGCGGGUUUUCGCUCUCUUCUCCACUUAGACACCAUCCUAAUGCUCACUUACCUUCGCCUCCCUUCCGCUCCCGCUCCGAAACCAACAAACGUCCCGGGCGGACCAACCGCUUCGCCAUGGGCGCGUGGCUCAACAUGCCGUACGUACACGUGCGUUUUUGUGUGCUCCAUUCGACGUACAAGGCCCUCCGUCGUACAUUCCCGCACCUGACACGCACGGCAAUGGCUCAGCGAUUCCUCCUCAACCAGCAGCCGCCCCGGCAGGGGGCGAGGGGUCCACAAGUCUCAAGCAGGGACAUAUCCCCGGAGGAUAUCACCCACCGGCGGAUGGACCAGUCACCAUCAGCAGCCUUCCAGCAGCAACAGCAGGUCUCGCAACAUCAUCAGCCGCAACACCAGCUGCAGCAGCAGCAACAGCAAACACAUUUGCAGAUGGAGCGGCACCAACAACAUCAUAAUUACCAACAACAUCAUAAUUACCAACCCGCCGGCCACUGGGCGAACGGCGGCGGAGGGGGACGUACGGCGGGUGGCAGCAGCAGCGGCGGCGGCGGCUUGACGGCAGAGGAGGAGCUAGCGGCAGCCGCGGCGGCGUACGGCACGCCGGAGCAUACCGGCGGCGUCAUGCGGCCGUCAUACUCUUACGCAUUGUACCCGGAGAAUGAGCUCCGUGCCCUCCCGCCGGCCACACCCCCUGUCUUUGGCUGGCAGUGCGGCAGCAACGUCGGCGGCGGUGGCGCCGGCGGCGGCGACGCUGUACUGCAUUCUCUGCGUCGAAAUAGCGACGUGUACGGCAACCGACUGCACUCGCCGUGGCCAGCAGCUUCGCAUGGCCCUCAUGGCGCGUGGACCGGCCAACCAAUACCGUUGCCGUGCUUAAAAUCGCGUUAGGUCGCGUUAAACUCGCGUUAAAUCCUCGUAACGCGAAUUUAACGCGACGUAACGCGAUCACCCGUUGUCAUAGUGGUAGUACGGCACGCACUAAUAAUACAUAUACACGCUAAAGCGCAAUUCCAGCAUCUAUAGAGGCCUUUCCAGCGGCCAGCUACUACAACAUGCCACGUGGCAUGCGCGAAGCUGACAGACGUUUGUAGCGGACCUAACAGGCUGGGGCCUUGGGCCCCAUCGACAGUAUCCUACUACGGCAGGAGUGCUAGAGAUUCGUCCGGCAGGUAGGCCGAGAUAUGAGCUUCUUCACCCAGGCAGGAUGCUCUAGCCAGACACUUAAGUAUUACGACUACUUGGUGUUCGGAGGUCAAGACUCUGCUGCCGCCGGUCUAGUUAUACUGUACCUGUUCUGUAUUCUAGUGUCUGCUGCUGGGCUGGACUUCUUCCCGUCUCUUCGAAGGCGAUCUGCUCUACACUUCCGCAAGGCCAGUCGUCUGUAAAGGUGAGUGACUGCUACACCUUGCCUUCCACUGCCGUGCCGCCCGGUGCACAUGCUGCCACUGCCGCCAGCUGCGUAACUCAUUGUUAUUCUCCCAUCACUACACUUGCCCUUGGGAUGUCCUGGUUGGACGUCUGCAUUGGCUUUCUGUCUAUGUCGACCGCGGCCGUGUGUGAACUGUGUGGGAGCCUCUCCCAGUUCCAUCCGUCACCAGCCGAAAUGCUGUACCCCGCGAGUUGCGGUCAAAGCUGACCCUAAGUGUGCCUCCCCGCAGCCACCACCUCCAUUCGAGUGCACCUUUACCGGUUCGGUGAGCUGUCUCGGCAGGCUCUCUCCUGGAUUCUGCCGCCACUCAAUUGUGGACUUGCUGGGCUAUCGUGCAGCUGUAAUGGUGCUCAACUUGCACCCUCGCUGCCUGGGCCUCCACCAUGCUGCCUUCAGGCUGCACCACCUUCACAUGCCUGAGCCUUCUUCAGUUAGACAGGCCUCCUCUGCGAGCUGCCUUCAUCCACCGUCACUGCUACUCCAGUGCUGUCUUUCACAGGUGGAAGUUGCGACCUCACGAUCGUGGCCUUUACACUGCUAAUCACAUACCCGUGAGCCAGUGUUUUUUUCCGUUUUGGGCCUAGUACCCUAGAGUAAUAAACUGGGUGUUUCUUGCGGUUACUAUUCCUAUUUUAGUCGCUGGGGGGGGCUGCAUGCCCCCCAGACCCCCCCCCUCAAAGGCCUUACGGUGUGCUGUAAGCAACACCUGACGUCUGGAAACACACAUGCCGUACCACCAUCGUUCUGUGCACCUAACUGCAUUUGCGCCAGUGUCUCUGUGCAGGGCGUGGAGCCACUUUGACUGUCCAUAAACGUCAUGAGCACGCGAAGGCAAAGUUAUAUAUAUGUACACUGUCUUCCAGGCUCAGACCCCCACAGUCNNNNNNNNNNNNNNNNNNNNNNNNNNNNNNNNNNNNNNNNNNNNNNNNNNUAGCGCGGGAAGCAUCGUUCGCCAAUAUUAAUUAAAGGCCUCUAACGCUGCAGGAAAAUUUUAGUAGAAGAUUUAGAACUAUGUAUGUAUUUAGUUUUAGCGUUUGUUCCCGCUUUGAGGGCGUGAAAUGCCGUGUCAUUGUCCCUAAUCAGUCAUUGUCCCGGCAUUUCAAUUGUCGCCCAUAAGCAUGAACCAGGCCACCAACUCACAAGCUUACAUGCAACGACUAAAACCAGGCAAUACUAGCUACGCAAGCUAUGCUAGGACAAACUUUUGAGACGACCAGAGCAAAUUGACUUAGAUUGUUUGCCCUGGCAAACUUAUGUACUCCAAACUCAUCCACUGGACGAUGCUGGCUGUAUUUCUUGCGUGGGCGAUCUUGUCGCCGACGGGCGAUGUUGUCCAGGGCGUUCCGGUCAAACUCGUAGGCGCCGACCUCAUUACCGUUGUCCAUGGACAUUGUGUUGGAAGGAUACGUUAAGGUUCAGAUAAAAUGAAGAAAUGAAGAAGCGCUCCUUCAUAGUAUGGAGAUGGUAGAAUCUUCAAGCAACUUUUGAACGACCAGGGAGAGUUGCUGAUAGGCGAAUUUGUAUGAAGCUAUAGAAUUCCUUUAUUCUUUCAAAGUAAAUGAAUGCUUAUGUAUUCGUCCGUUAGUAGCGUGAAGCUUUGAACACUCUUUGUACGGCAGAUUCGGCACAAUGUUUUGCCUCAUUGCGAUGUUGCCUGAAAAUUUUGAACAGAAGGGAUCACUGCUCAUGCUGGUGCAGCAAGACAUGUAAGGAGAUGGCCUGGUCACAAUCCAGCAGUCAUAUAUCGACAAUCUCAAGCUAUGACAACUUGUUACAUGUGUCUGUAAUAAAAAAGGGACUUUGCGAUGGUGUGGGGAGCUCUUUGAGUGGUGGGACUGUGGAAAUCCAGUUUGUUUCGCCCGUAACAAGUUUGUUACGGGCGAAACAACGUCCCUCUGAAACGUUUGGAUAUGCCUAUGCAACACAUUUCUUCAAUUUCAUGAACUGCAAGUAUUCUAAUCCAACAUCACCCCAAUCUCAGUGUAAACUAGUCUCCAAAUGUGCCUGCACAAGACUGUCACCCCUGUCACCCGGCAUUCACAUUGCCUUAACCUCCUCAAGCUUGUCGGGGUGUGACACGUGGGCAUGAACCUUGUGACAAUGGGCAUUGUCACAAAGAAACUGGUACAAUCAGAAAUGCAUUUUUGCUCAUGCCAGGUUACCGACAUCGGUUACCGAUUACUGGGGACGGUUAACGGAUAACGGUUCGCCCGGUAAUCCUACCGACCGGUUACCCAUCUCGUUAACUGGACCCGUUAGGUCGGAACCGGGCCGGAACCGGCCUGGAGUAUGCCAUUGGGCUGGCAUCGUUUUGAUGUUAUGCCUUCCUUGCUGUACUUCACUGGUCGCCACUAUUCACUGGCCGGUACCAACCGCACCAUUGCCGCCGUCAUCCAGAUGCAGCAGUCUUAAGGUGCGAGCUGCCUGCUGCAGCUGCCAGAACAGCCUCCGAGCCGCAUGUAGCGGACUGCAGCAGCGGCUUUCUCCUCGAUGUGCCGCCAUUGGCGGCCGUUCUAUACAUGCAGCUGCAGUUCAGUGGCUUCCUAAGCGAUCGGCCUCCUACAGUCGCUAAACACGCAUUUGUGGCCGACCGCCGCAGCGGCUUUUGUCCUAAGUUCCCCGCCAUUGGCGGCCGCUAGCUGCAUGCAGCUGAGCAGCCUUCAGUUCGGCAUGCCGCCUCGACAAGCGGGCAUCCCACGCGAGCGGCCUCCUGCAGUCACUAAACAUGUAUUCGUGCCGCACUUAGCAGACCGCCACGGGGUUGUUUGGUCUUGGACUGUAGCUGGACGGCGAGACAGCAGACGUAUGUGUCGCCCAAUCGUUCGGGGCUUUUAAUGUGGUGCCGAUAGGUAAUACAGUUUCACAGGAAAGCAUGUAGUCACAUGCAAUUUGGAUUGCGUAUUGUAUGAUAAACCUGGAUAAACAAGUGCUUCUUUGCUACAUUCUGUACCUCCGGUUAUGCUUGAGGAUGUGUUAACCAUGGUACAUACCAAAGCUCAAUGCAUAUAUCUUCAUCGCCUUGUGUGCGGUUCAUGUGUGUUCUGCCCAUAAUCGGGUGCACACUGAAAAUACAUGCAUGCGCAUGUGGAUUAACUUGCUAAUUGUGUGUGCUUGUUGUUUAAGCCUUUCGCACUGAUCAAUUGUUAAAGUCAACCAAAUAAGCGCAAAUCUAGUCUCAAUAAACCCUCUUAAGUAUAAAUACUCAUUCCGUAAUUAAUGUUCCUGAAUGUUCUGUCAAAAGGGCCCAUUUUCAGCUUUGCCACAGCCAUCGUGCAUUAGCUCUGCGUUACGAAACGCAAGCAUAUACGCAUCUAACGUUAUGAAACGGGACGCAACACAAGAUAACACGACCUAACGCUAGUCACCCUUUGCCCUAGUGACCACAUGUAUUUGGGCAGAGGGGCCACGGACGGCGUCCAGAGGCGUGUGCUGCUGCUCCUGACGCGUGUUGCCGUCCUCUUCCUUGAACACGUACAACCAUUUGGGGGCGGACCUGUUGAAAGCGUGCAGCAGGCAGCAGCUGUGCUGUAGUGUACAGUCGAUUGAUUGCUUGAGGGUGUGUCGGCGGCAGGAGGACCGCAAGCAAAAGGCACGUGUGCAUGUCUUGGCAUGCUUCAGCAAAAGCGGAUUUCGUGAACAUCCUGUCAUGAUGACCGUCAUGAAGUUGCAAUCGUGGAUGGCCAAGGGACUAUUCGCCAUGUUGCCAUACAAGAUUUUUGCCACAAGCGGCUGUAGUUGCUGUCGUACAAUGCGGCACACAUGGUGCUGAAGCACUUUGCCAGCACCUCGAGCUUAAACGAGAGCCGCUUUUCCAGCGGCCAGCUAAUAUAUACACUUGAGCCCUGCCUGGCACCCGCAAGCUGAACUCAACUAUGACCCUCUCCUGUAACAGCCGUCUCUUACCUUAGCUGUUUUAGCGGAAGCAGAGGGUCUCGUCCACGAUUGGCGACCCAGCGUUAGGCGUGAGAAGAGACAAGGGAAGUCGGGAUUCGAAGACAUACGUCGAGAACGGUGACAGCAAGGUCUUGAACCCUGAACACUAGUAUAGUGAUACGUUAAGUGUCUGGCCGAAGCACUUCACCUGGGUGGCUUAAAUGCGGCCCACCUGCCGCCAUCUCCAUUCCUGGAGUCUUGGUGUCGUACGCUAGGUUGUGAUAGCGUACCAGAAAGUGAGUUUGUACAGUUAACGAGUAUGGUUCGUAAAUACGGGACCGUACCGUUACUGUGAUUAAGCUUUAAUAGCUUAAAGAUAUUCUAAGGUAAAUGUAGCUUGCUACAUCCCUCCCCCUCAGAAGCGAACCGUCCCGGGAGCGUCACCUUUUCUUGCGAGCAGGUGCUUUCCGUUUCGGUUGUUCUGGGGUGCUGUUCCGGGUGCUACCGAAGGAGGGGUGGUCAGGACCACUUUNNNNNNNNNNNNNNNNNNNNNNNNNNNNNNNNNNNNNNNNNNNNNNNNNNNNNNNNNNNNNNNNNNNGUCAAGUAGUGCCUCAACCAUGUAAUAUGGCUCUUCGUCAAUUAUGAACGGGGGCGGCGGUUGUCGUGUUCCAUCGUCCUUGAAUGGUNUGAGCAAGGAUACGUGGAAGACCGGAUGGAGUCGGGAAGUCGCGGGUAAUCCCAAUUUUACCGCGUUCUCUCCCACUCGGGCGACAACCUUAUAUGGCCCAAUAAACUUAGGCAAUAAUUUCUUUGCUCCAGGAGAUUUCAACUGGAUGUUGCGGGUGCUGAGCAGCACGGAGUUCCCAACCUCAAAACGCACCGCACGCCGAUGCUUGUCGACGACAAUGCACUGGCGGGAUUGAGCAGCUUUAAGACACUGUUUUGCGUUUUCAAUACGUUUGCGCAUGACCUUGGGAUAGCGGUCAGCGGCAGGCACUUUGGUUUUUAGGUGCAAGUCAACCGGCACACGUGGCUGCUUGAUACCAUUAAGGCUAAACGGGGUGGCACCCGUUGAGCUCUGCCUCGAGUUAUUAAUAGCAAACUCGAUGAGUGGCAGGUGUUCGUCCCAAUCAUCCUGAGUGGGCGAAAUAUAGUGCCUCAGUGUCUCUUCUAGCAAGCGAUUCAUUCGCUCGGUUUGACCAUCAGUCUGCGGAUGGUAGGCUGUGCUCAUAUAGAGGUGGGUGCCUAGCAGGCGAAAUGUUUCCUUCCAAAAGUUGCUUGUGAAGCGUGUGUCCCGGUCAGACACAAUAUUCUGUGGAAGGCCGUGCUGUUUGAAAACCGUAGCCACAAAGAGGCGGGCUAGAUCUUCCGCACCGACGGAUGUGGUUGUGGGAGCGAAGUGCGUCAUCUUGCUCAGGCGGUCCACGAACACUACUAUCGCGUCAUGCCCAUUGCGGGUUGUGGGUAGCUGUGUGACCAAAUCCAUUGACACACUAUCCCAAACGUUAUCUGGAAUGNGAAGGGGCUGCAGCAGUGCGCCUGGCUUUUGAUUUGAAGCCUUAUUGCGCUGACAAGAAGGGCAGGUACUAACGUAGGCCUUCAUGUUAGUAUCCAACCCGGACCACCAAAAAUGUUUCGCGAUCGCNNNNNNNNNNNNNNNNNNNNNNNNNNNNNNNNNNNNNNNNNNNNNNNNNNNNNNNNNNNNNNNNNNNNNNNNNNNNNNNNNNNNNNNNNNNNNNNNNNNNNNNNNNNNNNNNNNNNNNNNNNNNNNNNNNNNNNNNNNNNNNNNNNNNNNNNNNNNNNNNNNNNNNNNNNNNNNNNNNNNNNNNNNNNNNNNNNNNNNNNNNNNNNNNNNNNNNNNNNNNNNNNNNNNNNNNNNNNNNNNNNNNNNNNNNNNNNNNNNNNNNNNNNNNNNNNNNNNNNNNNNNNNNNNNNNNNNNNNNNNNNNNNNNNNNNNNNNNNNNNNNNNNNNNNNNNNNNNNNNNNNNNNNNNNNNNNNNNNNNNNNNNNNNNNNNNNNNNNNNNNNNNNNNNNNNNNNNNNNNNNNNNNNNNNNNNNNNNNNNNNNNNNNNNNNNNNNNNNNNNNNNNNNNNNNNNNNNNNNNNNNNNNNNNNNNNNNNNNNNNNNNNNNNNNNNNNNNNNNNNNNNNNNNNNNNNNNNNNNNNNNNNNNNNNNNNNNNNNNNNNNNNNNNNNNNNNNNNNNNNNNNNNNNNNNNNNNNNNNNNNNNNNNNNNNNNNNNNNNNNNNNNNNNNNNNNNNNNNNNNNNNNNNNNNNNNNNNNNNNNNNNNNNNNNNNNNNNNNNNNNNNNNNNNNNNNNNNNNNNNNNNNNNNNNNNNNNNNNNNNNNNNNNNNNNNNNNNNNNNNNNNNNNNNNNNNNNNNNNNNNNNNNNNNNNNNNNNNNNNNNNNNNNNNNNNNNNNNNNNNNNNNNNNNNNNNNNNNNNNNNNNNNNNNNNNNNNNNNNNNNNNNNNNNNNNNNNNNNNNNNNNNNNNNNNNNNNNNNNNNNNNNNNNNNNNNNNNNNNNNNNNNNNNNNNNNNNNNNNNNNNNNNNNNNNNNNNNNNNNNNNNNNNNNNNNNNNNNNNNNNNNNNNNNNNNNNNNNNNNNNNNNNNNNNNNNNNNNNNNNNNNNNNNNNNNNNNNNNNNNNNNNNNNNNNNNNNNNNNNNNNNNNNNNNNNNNNNNNNNNNNNNNNNNNNNNNNNNNNNNNNNNNNNNNNNNNNNNNNNNNNNNNNNNNNNNNNNNNNNNNNNNNNNNNNNNNNNNNNNNNNNNNNNNNNNNNNNNNNNNNNNNNNNNNNUGCCCUUGCAGUCAGCACCGGAAUCGAUAAGUGCGCUGCAAGGCGUUUGGCAUAAGAAUGCGCCAAAAAUCAUGGACUGUGAGGAGCCAAUACUGUUCAGCUGAACCUCUUUAGCUGGCGGGUCAUACCAAAGCUGGAUAGGCCACGGGAUACCGGGCAUUUCCUGACGACUACCAUCGUCUGCUUUCUCUAAGAACAGUUUCGUCCCUACGGCAUAUGUUUUUAGCAGCUGGUGUCCUGCCGCUCGCAUGCGUCUUUCAAUUUGAGACCAUUUCGGUACUACAAAAACCGCUGAAGUGGUUUCGGGACGCAUACGCCUGCAGCGCAGGUAAUGCUUAUGCCAAAGCUCAAUUUUUGUGUAUGGGGGAUUUGCCCAGACAAACUCGCCAGAGACAUCGGAGGUCAAGAACGAAUUUGAAGGGGAGGCAAAGCGUGUACAAUUAGCGUGUCGCCAGAGUUGUUACAAGCAGCGUCAAAGGUGAACUGCCGUCCCAACAUGUUCUCCACGUUACGAAACUCGUCCGGGAGGAACAUGUGAUCACAGCUAAGCGGAUCACAAACGGGCAACAAGGACUCUCUGAUUUGCAAGCUAGCCGAGUCCUUAGGACAUUCCGGUUGCUCACAGCCCCCAACAACACGCUUGCCGACCCGCUAAUCAGCCAUGGCAUUCUCCAUCUUCGCGGCAAGGGACAGCGUCUUCUCGGCGUUAGCCUUGAGGUGUCGAAUGCAGUCGGGCUUGUGCUCCGCCCAGCUCUGGUGGGCGGGCUUCACGCGACGGCAUUUGCGGCAAGUGUGUGCCGCCAGCUGUUCUUGCUCCAGACGCGCCUUCUUGGGCCGAUUGGCGGGUUGCCAACCCUGCGAAUUGCGAUCAGAGGACGAACGCUUAAAUUUAUUGAAGGGCUUUUUAGCAGUGAUCGCAUUAAGGUCAGCGCUAACUGCAUGGACGGUAGGCUUGUCUUUGCCCGACUGCCAUCGAACCUCUUGCCCAACAGCGUAAAGGAUUAGCUUAUCUAAGCUGUCCCAAUCUUUGCCCUCUUCGCUUGUCGCACACCGGCUGCGCAAAGGUGGUAGUAACCCCUUAACGUACCAGCCGAUUUGAUCGCUAGGGUUCAUAUCUUUCGCUUCACGAAUUAUAUCGNNNNNNNNNNNNNNNNNNNNNNNNNNNNNNNNNNNNNNNNNNNNNNNNNNNNNNNUUUUGGGGGAGCGGAACGCGUUUCUGCGUACUCACCUCGGUACGCGGCGUUUUGCCCGUGGGCUGUAGCGCAGGCCGCGCGGAGUCGGAGUCCGUAGCGCUACCGCCAGGGCCGCUCUCCACCGCACCGGUGUCCCAAAGUUUCCGGACCUCCUCCAAGGUGACCUCCGGCUCUAUCGUCAGGGAGUCCAGGGCCGCCUGGAAAGCGGUAACCUGAAGACUCUCUUUGGACAAAAUGCCAGCCAAGGAAGACGCAGCCACUUGCUUGAUAAUCUUGCAAAUGGCCACGGACCGUGGAUUGGGAGGUGGUGGGCUUGAGGGCGUUGACAGCUUGGAGAGUAACUCCUGGAGUUGCGUCUCCACACGCUGUGAAGAAUUGCGUAACGAUAUAAUGUCGUCACGCAGUUCUGCCAUCUCCUGGUGCGUUCCUUCCAGGGAACGCUCCAAGGCGCCGACGCGGUUCGGCACUGACUGUCGUAAAGUUUCAACCAAAUGCGCUGGCAAAGUGCCAGGCGCUUUGGCUUUGGGAACUUCCGUCGUCGCGUCAACCGCAUCAUUGCCAGUAGUGUCGAGGGCAGUCGCCACGUUAUCAGUUGGCGUCAUCGUGUCCUGAAUGUCAUUAUCAACAGGGACAGAGGAAAGGUAUUUACGAAGCGAAGCGAAGGAUUGUUUCCUUAAUUUGCGCUUUUUAAUUUUCGCAACACGAAGUGGGUCCGAAGCGGUUGUAGCAUCGGCAGGAAUUUGCGCCGUAGUCUUAGACUUCGGUCGCGGAAUAGGAACGUGCUUAGCAUCGCUCAAAGUGACAGCCUUAGUCUUAGCUAUAGGCUUAGGAACCAUUUCCAGAAAGUCGAGUCUAAGACUCAGACAAUGGGCGAGUAACUGCUGCGGCGCAAUGUGAGGCGAGGACCGAACAAAUGAUCGUCGAUACCAAAAUGUAACAGCCGUCUCUUACCUUAGCUGUUUUAGCGGAAGCAGAGGGUCUCGUCCACGAUUGGCGACCCAGCGUUAGGCGUGAGAAGAGACAAGGGAAGUCGGGAUUCGAAGACAUACGUCGAGAACGGUGACAGCAAGGUCUUGAACCCUGAACACUAGUAUAGUGAUACGUUAAGUGUCUGGCCGAAGCACUUCACCUGGGUGGCUUAAAUGCGGCCCACCUGCCGCCAUCUCCAUUCCUGGAGUCUUGGUGUCGUACGCUAGGUUGUGAUAGCGUACCAGAAAGUGAGUUCGUACAGUUAACGAGUAUGGUUCGUAAAUACGGGACCGUACCGUUACUGUGAUUAAGCUUUAAUAGCUUAAAGAUAUUCUAAGGUAAAUGUAGCUUGCUACAUAUUUCCGCGAGAUAUUUUUCUCUUGCUCUAUGGCUUAUUUCCUCUAGCGUCAAAUUCCGCCCGGCUGUGUUCGUUCCGAAGCAGACUGAAGCGACAAACGCUCGUUGAAGCGGAUCUCGACUGAGGAAGAACUCGCAUCACAGAGGUCUACGUAUCUAAUUGCACACUGGCUGCUAUUGCAAAUCGCGCGUCCUAAGGGGGGAAGGACUGUUAUGUUCGAAGGACGGCCACAGCAACAAAUUAUAAUGCUGUGGUUAGAAUGGCAGAACGUACAAGGGUGUUCUGUCAAAAUGUCCAUGGCUGGGAACGUGCACCAUUGGUUCAGGUUCAUAGCGCAGGAGUUCAGCUGCACAUUCCGGCGCCAACACUCCACGUUGGGUGCGCCAAAGCGCUACGAUAAACAACCUGAUAACAUUACAUCAAGCCAGACAGUCCAAUUGGAAUGCUUUUGAGUCGACUUGGACUUCUGCGCAAGAAUUGCUCCUAUGCACUAUAAUGUGCAGAGUUACGUGGAGUUGUGCCACAACAAAACAAUAAAGACUGCAAACUUUCUCAGAGUUGUGCAUACUGGCUUGGGAAUGCGGUGCGGCAUGAUGCGGCCAGCAUCUUCGCGCCUUGCAGCUUCAGCUCAGUUUGCAUGAAUAUAACCAAUAAAACAUCACAGUACUAUAGAAGCAGUUUGUAUGAGGAAGUAACAUGAAAGCUUAACAACUAACUCCAGGGUGGGCCUCACUUUGAGCCAGGACCCCCAAAGCGGCUUGCUGUUGAUAACGUUUUGUUGGCUUAGAUGCGACGGAGCGAAGCGACCGGAUCUUCUAAGGCUGGUUCUGUGGUGCUGUCGUACAACUGGGUCGCUGUGGCGACUUCAUUCUUGCUGCUCUCCUGGUGAAAUCAUUAUGCCUUCACGCAGAAGAGUAAACAGCCUUGUCCAACUAGUCAGCGUGACAGGCUGUACUUGGACCCCCAAACCGGCUUGCUGUUGAUAACGUCUUGCAUGUUGAUACGCCUCCUGCGGACUUGUCCCCCAGUAGGGUCUGCAGAUUGCAUACAGAUUACCUUCGUGUAACGACGCAAAUGCCAAUCUGAGCAUCCCGGGUUACGCCUUUGCUGUGUUACAAUGGUAUCGAGACGGGACCGCACGACUUCCGUAACAAACUUCGGGUCGGCGGUUCGAUUCUGGCAACCAGCAAGUCGCAAAUUGGCGAUUUCAUGGAGUAAUGGAUAAACCAGCGCACUGGCGCGAGGUGGGAUGGCUCCUGUGCUCGAAAUAAUGGCCGAGGACGUCCAUUGCUAAGUGGGGGGCAAUGUAACGACGCAAAUGCCAAUCUGAGCAUCCCGGGUUACGCCUUUGCUGUGUUACACUUCGGGUCUUAUUCAAAGUGUCCCAAACUUCGUCUUGGAAGACGCCCAUCUCCUUAAGCGCAAGCUAGUAAUAGCCCGACGACCGUUUGUUAUCUCUUCCAGAAUGGCAUCCGAUGGUGCCCUGGGUGUGGAUGUGCAUGGGCCGGACAAGGUAAGAACGGGGUUGGACUGCGUCUGACUGGCUGAAGAACUGGCACCAAUGGUGCACGUUUCUCACAUUUACACCAAGUCGCGUUCCAUGCCUGUUCUAUUCCCAAUGGUGUUAACCUUCUGCAGAAGCGUCAAAAGCUGGCAAAAUUGACGGGGUUGGGCUUCGCCAGGGACAUGGCCGAAGUCAUCGUGGAAACGCUUGGGAUGGACCCCAUCGGGCAGUCGGCCGAUGCCGGAGCAGGACUUCCUUGUGUUUGAGUUUGGUUAGCUAUGGGACGCGACUUACAAGCAGAACUUCCUUGUGUUUGAGUUUGGUUUGCUAUGGGACGCGACUUGCAAAGCAGGACUUCCUUAUGUUUGAGUUUGGUUAGCUAUGGGACGCGACUUAUAAGCAGGACUUCCUUGUGUUUGAGUUUGGUUAGCUAUGGGAAGCGACUUGCAAGCAGGACUUCCUUGUGUUUGAGUUUGGUUAGCUAUGGGACGCGACUUGCAAGCAGAACUUCCUUGUGUUUGAGUUUGGUUUGCUAUGGGACGCGACUUGCAAGCAGGACUUCCUUAUGUUUGAGUUUGGUUAGCUAUGGGACGCGACUUGCAAGCAGGACUUCCUUGUGUUUGAGUUUGGUUAGCUAUGGGACGCGACUUAUAAUCAGAACUUCCUUGUGUUUGAGUUUGGUUUGCUAUGGGACGCGACUUGCAAGCAGGACUUCCUUGUGUUUGAGUUUGGUUUGCUAUGGGACGCGACUUGCAAGCAGAACUUCCUUGUGUUUGAGUUUGGUUAGCUAUGGGAAGCGACUUGCAAGCAGGACUUCCUUGUGUUUGAGUUUGGUUUGCUAUGGGACGCGACUUGCAAGCAGAACCUCCUUGUGUUUGUUUGAGUUUCCAUGUAAGCAACUAUCGACAACAAUCCAUCCUUGGCCUGUUUUGCAGUCCUGUCAGUAUUCCAAGUUCUGCACCUGCAGCCUCAUUUUACAGCAGAACACCCAAUUCUAAUCCUCCAACUGUGUUCCCAAUCCUAUGGCAGCGACCUCAUCCUAAACUUGCGAAAGCCUGCAAUCCCUGUCCUGUCGACCAGGGUCCCAUCCCCAUCCCUGGCCAGGGCUCCCAAUCCCCUCCUUGGUCAAGGUUGCAUUCCCCAUCCCUCAGACAGGGAUCCCAUCCCCAUCCUCACCCCCGACAGCAAUCCCCAUCCCAAAAGUAGUGUAGCACGCCUAAUCCCUAAUCCUCGCCCUGGGCCCCACAUCCCAUCCUGACGUUGUCAACCCUAUUCCCCAUCCCGCCUGACCAGUACCUGCCCCCAAUCCCCCAUCUCUGCAACCCUCUGCGUUAAGCUUUACGCAAUCAGCCUUCAUACGCAUGAUACGCAACAUGCAUUCGCAUGCACAUGCCUUGCGGACUGUGUGCGUUUCAUGUGCGAGUGGACGCGAAUUGCUUUACGCAUUGUCUCCCCACACGCACGAAUCGCAAUAUGGAAUCGCAUGCGUAUCGCCUUGCUACACAUGCGCGUAUGCUUCGCGUUUGAACAUACGCACGGAUGAAUUGUUCAAGUCGACCAAAACGACGCAAGUUUAUUUCCAAAUAAGCCUUUACAAUCUGAAAAUUAUAAAUUUUUAAAAAACUUGGCCAGAAGGGCCGAUUUCCGCUUUUCCAUAGCCGUUGUGCGUUAGCUCUUUGCGUUACAAAAGCAUGCUCAUUCGCACCUAACGCUAAGAUUCGCACCGUUACGCGAACUAACGCGAGCUAACGCGGACUUAACGCGAUCACCCGUCGUCAUAGUGAAUAUCUAUGGCUCCAACCUCUGGGUCCGACGGUGAGUGGGACUGUAAUAAGGGAUCAGCUCACCUUGGCAUCUCCCACGAGUAUAGUUUGUCUGGUCUUACAGGGACGCUGUCACGGAUGCCAGUGUUUUUUUUCAUUUUCAGUCCGAACGGAGGAAUAGGUUUUUAGUCGCGGGAAUAAAAGUAUUCCGAAUCUGUAAGGUGCUGGGGGGGGCGGAGGCCCCCCCAGAACCCCCCCAAUGAGUCACAGUUUAGUUCGUGCAAACGCCAGGUUUGGGGAAUGUCGCAACACACGCACAAUCUCUCAAGCACUGAUCGAAUAGAGUUCGUUCACCAUCGUUGUCUUGCAUCACGUUGAAAGAUAACACUACACGACUUUCCGGGUUGCAAAAGUAAUGAUGCAGAGCAGCAAUAAACCGGAACCACCAAACGCAAACUGUUUCCUGGCCCAUAGCGAUUGCCUCCAUAUGAGAACGUUGAUGUUUGGCCCGCUCACUGUUGACAACCGGGCGUCAUUGUCGUCGGCUGGCUGCAGCAUUGCGUCCACAUUGCCUACGACCUCUACACCGUCUUCAUUAACGUCGCUAAUGACUUCAGUGAAGUUUAAUAUCUGCUUUUAUGGCCUUCCAAGCUUUGGGAGCUCCGGAUCCGAAUGUUUUGCAGUGUUUGGUCCGGUCAGAAACAGUCCGAUUCCUCGUUGACUUUCGGGUGUGAGCUUCCUAACAGUAUCCCUAUGGCAUAAACAUGCCGGUUACCGACCGUUUGGGGCCCAUUAACCCAACCGGCCGGUUGAAUGGCGUUAACGGCCCGGUUGGGUUAACGGUCGGUUGGGUUAACGGUCGGUUGGGUUAACGGUCGGUUGGGUUAACGGGCGGUUGGGUUAACGGGCGGUUGGGUUAACGGCCGGUUGGGUUAACGGCCGGUUGGGUUAACGGCCGGUUGGGUUAACGGCCGGUUGGGUUAAUGAUCAGUUGGGUUAACGGUCGGUUAAUUGGAUUAAUGGUCAGGUGGGUUAAUGGUCAGGUAUUCAUCAUACCUAGCACCCUGCCUGCAUGCCUACACACCUGGUGUGUCCAUCCAGUGGUUCCCCCAAACGCGAAAAUUUUUGGGCUGCCGCUGGGUGUCGCCCGCCGCGGCGCGGCACUACAGCGUACCGUUGAUCCAUGCUUCCAAUCGAUGAUGGGGCUCCGCGAGCCAGGGACCAGCGUCCCAGUCGUAGCCUGAGCUACGACCCCCGCCUACACUUCUGCAAGGGUGGACUUCCGCCUGAGGCGGCGUUUACUUGUAGGCAUCCGUCAGAGUAAUUUUUUGCGGAAUAAAUUCCGAAUUCGGGAUAAAAUUUUGUUCGUGGUCCUGAAAGUUAAGAAUAAAGAAUGUUCUGACCGUACAAUUUUAAAAAGGACUGUCCAUGCCAAAGCCGCUAGAUUCUUACAGGAGACAUACAUGUUAACCCUAUCGUAGUACUUUAAUGCCAUGGAUAUAUCCAUGCCUAGGCUCCCCCAGCAAAGCAUUACGUAGCUCUUGGAAAGCGUCUUCUUCUCGCGGACCCCAGCACCAGGGUGUCCCUGUUUAAUGCCAUGGAUAUAUCCAGCCUAGGCUCCCCCAGCAAAGCAUUACGUAGCUCUUGGAAAGCGUCUUCUUCUCGCGGACCCCAGCACCAGGGUGUCCCUGUUUAAGUAGCGCAUACAAUGGUUGUGCAAUCAAGCCGAAGCCAGGGAUAAGUUCCCGGUAGUAACCAACAGCUCCCAGCCAAGCUCGUACUUCGUGAACAUUGGAUGGCGACGGAAGUUCUGCAAGUUUCAUGAUGUUGGUGGGGUUAGGUCCCACGACACCACGUACUCCGUCAAGUAGAUGACCAAGGAAAACCACGCGUUGUUGGCCAAACGUGCACUUCCCUAUGGCAUAAACAUGCCGGUUACCGACCGUUGGGGGCCCAUUAACCCAACCGGCCGGUUGAAUGGCGUUAACGGCCCGGUUGGGUUAACGGUCGGUUGGGUUAACGGCCAGUUGGGUUAACGAUCAGUUGGGUUAACGGUCGGUUGGGUUAAUGAGCCCCAAACGGUCGGUAACCGGCAUGUUUAUGCCAUAGGGAGUAUCCCGGUAGCGCGGGAAGCAUCGUUCGCCAAUAUUAAUUAAAGGCCUCUAACGCUGCAGGAAAAUUUUAGUAGAAGAUUUAGAACUAUGUAUUUAUUUAGUUUUAGCGUUUGUUCCCGCUUUGAGGGCGUGAAAUGCCGUGUCAUUGUCCCUAAUAAGUCAUUGUCCCGGCAUUUCAAUUGUCGCCCAUAAGCAUGAACCAGGCCACCAACUCACAAGCUUACAUGCAACAACUAAAACCAGGCAAUACUAGCUACGCAAGCUAUGCUAGGACAAACUUUUGAGACAAGGCAUCCUCCAAUUGGCACGCGGUAAAUUGACUUAGAUUGUUUGCCCUGGCAAACUUAUGUACUCCAAACUCAUCCACUGGACGAUGCUGGCUGUAUUUCUUGCGUGGGCGAUCUUGUCGCCGACGGGCGAUGUUGUCCAGGGCGUUCCGGUCAGACUCGUAGGCGCCGACCUCAUUACCGUUGUCCAUGGACAUUGUGUUGGAAGGAUACGUUAAGGUUCAGAUAAAAUGAAGAAAUGAAGAAGCGCUCCUUCAUAGUAUGGAGAUGGUAGAAUCUUCAAGCAACUUUUGAACGACCAGGGAGAGUUGCUGAUNNNNNNNNNNNNNNNNNNNNNNNNNNNNNNNNNNNNNNNNNNNNNNNNNNGCGAUGUUGCCUGAAAUUUUAAACAGAAGGGAUCACUGCUCAUGCUGGUGCAGCAAGACAUGUAAGGAGAUGGCCUGGUCACAAUCCAGCAGUCAUAUAUCGACAAUCUCAAGCUAUGACAACUUGUUACAUGUGUCUGUAAUAAAAAAGGGACUUUGCGAUGGUGUGGGGAGCUCUUUGAGUGGUGGGACUGUGGAAAUCCAGUUUGUUUCGCCCGUAACAAGUUUGUUACGGGCGAAACAACGUCCCUCUGAAACGUUUGGAUAUGCCUAUGCAACACAUUUCCUCAAUUUCAUGAACUGCAAGUAUUCUAAUCCAACAUCACCCCAAUCUCAGUGUAAACUAGUCUCCAAAUGUGCCUGCACAAGACUGUCACCCCUGUCACCCGGCAUUCACAUUGCCUUAACCUCCUCAAGCUUGUCGGGUUGUGACACGUGGGCAUGAACCUUGUGACAAUGGGCAUUGUCACAAAGAAACUGGUUGCAAUCAGAAAUGCAUUUUUGCUCAUGCCAGGUUACCGACAUCGGUUACCGAUUACUGGGGACGGUUAACGGAUAACGGUUCGCCCGGUAAUCCUACCGACCGGUUACCCAUCUCGUUAACUGGACCCGUUAGGUCGGAACCGGGCCGGAACCGGCCUGGAGUAUGCCAUUGGGCUUCUUAGCUGCGAUCUUGAGACCAGCCAUUCGGAGAAGGUUGAACACUUGCUGAAGAUGUCGUACAUGAUCUUGUAGUGUUGGGCUGAAGAUAAGGAUAUCAUCCAGAUAAACCACCACACACUGUUCCCGCGGUGGGCUAUUCAAUGAAGCAGGGGGUGGAGGCGAAUCCUCUAGUAGUGGGCCCAGAACCUUGUGCAUCAGGGUAGCGAACACGGCGGCUGCUCCCUUUAGACCCAUGGGCAUUCGUACAUAUCGAUACUGAGCUGUGGGCGUGGCAAAUGCCGUACGCUCCUUAGAAGCCUCGUCCACCAUCGGGACUUGCAGUAGCCCGACUUCAAGUCCAGGCUGGAGUAGUAACGAGUCUCGCCACCCGGAGGUGCAGCAAUAUCCAAAAUAUCCUGGAUGUGGCCUAUCGGAAACCGGAUGUCCUUAGUGACAUCGUUGACCCUCUGCAUACCCACACAGGGCCGGAGUUCUCCGUUUUUCUUGGGAACAACUACUACUGGAGACACCCAAGGACUGUUGGACACUGUAGCAUCUGCCGCAUCUCAGCAUCAACGGCGGCUUUCUCUGUUCGUGACAGACGGUAAGGAUUCUGCACGAUAGGAGGAUGAUCUCCCAUGUCCACCUUCAUGGACACCCAGGACGUAAGCCCUAGCUCUCGGUUGGUUAAGGCGAACAUGUCAAAGUUGUCAGUCAAACAUGCGACCAGCUGCUGGUGGUCGAGGUACUGAAGAUCGGUGUUUACUUUGCUGCUUAGCAGCUCGCGUAGCUCAGGGGUAGGGCUCUUGACUGGCCGAACCGCACGGGCUACCAACCCGCGAAAAUGAGCCUCCUCUAAAUGUCCGUCAUGAUCCAAGCCGUCUGGGGCAAGGGCAGCUGGCAUGUUCGCAUCAAACUGUGCUGCCGCAGCAUGGCUGUGGGUAACGGAAGCACACUCCUCAGUUAGCAAUCGUGGUAACAGGAGCUCUCGUGAACUCAAGACGGGAAUAGUUUCAGGAAAAGAAUGGAAUGGAUCUGCAGGGGUCGAUAUUGGCGGUCCAGGUCCGGAGUGCGAGUCAUUGUCGUACUCGAACUCAUCUCCAGGCCAGACAUUUGCCCGAGCCUCUUCACUGCCAGAACUGACGAUGCUGUCGGUACUCCAUGCAUCCGCAGCCCAUUCACCGCUGGAGGCACUUUCCGACGGAAUCUCGUCUGACCUAAGCACUUGCCGUACAAGUAGGCCGACGAUGUGUUCCAUGUCCAUGUCCCCACGGGCUGUCGAAUCACCAUCACUAACCUCUCCACUGUUUCCCUCAGGUGAAUCAAUGGUCUCAUGUGCGGAGCCUCUAUUGAUAGCUGCAGGUGACAUCUGCCCUUGUGGCGUGGGCGUCUCAGGCCGCUGUAUUGAUGCCUCGGCCGUCAACAUGGAAGCUGGUUGAGUGUCGUCUUGCUCAGGUGAGUCGUCCCAAAGUCGAGCAGACGGGGGAACAUCAGAGCUGGGGCUCCGGAGAUAAUGGAUAGCAAUGUUAGACCGCUGAUCCCGGUCAUUGGUGUAUUCCAGACGACCAUUGUCGUACGAAAUACUUGCUCGUAUUGGGUAGAGGAAGUCGGUGCCCAGGAGUAACUGAUAGUUGAGGGUGGUACUGACGAACGGACUCAGCAGCAUCGUUAGGUCGCCAGUAGACACUUGCAGUUCACUGACACGUCCAGCAGCCCGACCACGAUUGCCAUCCGCAUUCAGGAACGUCACCUCCGUCUCCUCCAUCAGGUGUAGAAGAUCUAAACGCUGUAGUGUGUCUCGUGUAACAAUGCUAUGAGAAGCCCCAGAAUCGAUGACAGCAGGGACGGGAACUUGUCCUCCAUGCCCAUCAAUUAUCCAUACAGUAGCUUUGCAAACUUGCCAGGUUGGUACGACGGCAUCAGACUUCCAGGCGGGUAUUGUUGAAGAUGGUCGCUCUGAAAGAGAAGCUUGCAUGGUGCCUGCUGUAGGCCUCGCUGGACCAAACAUGGGCCCAGGCUGGGGGUUGCCAGUGCUGGUGUGCUGACGAGCCAACCCAAGGACUCGGCUGCCAACCUUCGUGUAGAUGCUGAUAGGGUUGCAUCAUAGAGUUGUACUCAAUGGUAGUGCAUACUUGUUGAUCUUAUGAAUGAUGUCCUCAGCAAUACGCCAUUCUUCUUCUUGUGGGUCCGCAGGAAUCGGAUCGGUGCGGCUGCCAGACUCAGCUACUCGUCGGCGGAGACGAGGUUCAGCACUGGUGAUGCCUCGCUGGGCUGGGACGGUACCUCUGGUUGCGGCAGUACGCUCUGGAGGUGGUGCACCCGGGGCUGCUGGCUCCUGUGGCUGAUGAGCCUGGGUAGCCAUAGCCGGGGCAUUCAGGGAAGCCAACGGUGUCACCAUGGGUCGUACAAUGCCUAUACGCCCGGUAGUAGCAGGCCGAGGCGCCUCCUGGCCAGGGGUAGGCGCCUCCUGGCCAGGGGUAGCCGUGGGGCGCUUGCGGGGAAGUGGCAUAGGCUCAAAAUCGGCCACACGCUUGACAUAGGCGGCUGGUGGGGCAGUCGGCUGGAAACAAGAGUAGAUGUCCGGAUGCUCCAUCUGAGACAAAUGUGGGUCUUUAUGGGGAGUGUUAUCCCUUUCCCACAAUUGUAUAUUAGGGUUGCGCUUCAGCAACAGGGUUAAUCGUGACAACUGGCGAGCGAUGUCGUCAACUCAUGACUCCAGGGGUUCAUUCUCUGGGGGUGUCGAAACCUUAGGUUUUGGGCAACUAUGCCAGGGAGCAUUCCCAGCGGGCUUCUGCUCUGGUUGCCGUGGUCCCAUGGGACGUUGUGUAGCCACUGGAGUUCGGGGACCAUCCGGUCGUGAGCCACUAGGGGUCGGGGAAUCAGGCAUGUUACCACGAAGGUCGCCGUGACGGUUUUCCCAGCGCGGGGUAGCCCGAGAAGGAUGGCUGUGGAAAUCCAUAUCACAUGUGCGCUGAGGGGGAAACGGUUCGUAGUGGCCAGCCACAUCCUGGCGGUCCAAGCCCUCGUUGAUAUAGAUGGCACAUCGUACGGCGUCUUCAAAGCUAGAUGGUCACAUGAGGAAAACCUUGUUGUAAACCUUGAGUUGUAGUCCUUGUAAGAAGUUAUGCAUGUGGAUGGGGUCGUGUUGCGUGUCCACGCCCAGUUGUGCAGCUAGGUCGCGGUAGCGGUCAGUCUGUACUGCUUCACCCCGUUCUUGCCGACAAUGAGCUAGUCGGCUAAACAACUCUUCUUGGGUCGGAUUGAAUCAUUCCAGAAACGCGGCCUUAAAGCUAGGCCAGUCGGGAAGAGACGUUUCCAUGCCCGCUUGCCAGCAGAUGGCCUCAUCUCCUAGGCGGCAGAUGGUGACGUCCAGCUGAGCCUCUUCACUCCAGCCGUACAUCCGACCACAUCUCUCAACCCUGGCGACCCAUUGCCGUGCACUGUCUCCCAGCCGGAAGAUAGGCACAGACGAGACGCUCGAGGGAUGGGUGUGUGUGAUAAAGUGAGAUUGAUGUUGGCUCUCCAUGGCGUACAAGUUGUACAACCAGUGGGACGCCAAAUAGACUGUUCAAAAGUAGCUAGAGACAGGGCUGAAAACCCUAGUCUCGAUACCAGCUGCACCGUGGCGGGCGACACCCGGCGGCAGCCCAAAAAUUUUCGCAUUUGGGGGAACCGCUGGAUGGACACACCGGGGCGCCCAGGAUCGUUUAUAGAAAGGAAUCGAUACCAGUAGAUUGUCUUAAGCGAGAUAGGAUCGAGGUUUGUGUGGGCGAGCGGAAGCAGAAUCAGAGUUUCAUCCUGAGACUGAAGGCCCAGGUGUGGUUGUGAGCCUGGUGUGAGCAGAGUUUUACUGCCUCUUGGCCACUAGGCCCAAUGUCAGGUUGGAACCUGGUUGGCUGUUGACAAGAUAAAAUGGGUGGGAGUCAUCCACGCCAAGUGAAGGCGAUACCCGUUACAAACUGCCUUGGCCGGUGCAUCCUGCUACCGUGCGCGGGAGUUGUAUGAUUGGAAUAUCCCUCAGAAAAUAUUGGUCAGGCCACGCCUUAUAUAUGGCAAACGCGCCCGCCAUUCGUACAACUGUCGUAUGGUCAACGUAAGAUGCAGCUACCCUUUUCGUGCAGCAACUGCUUCAUUACACAACGGUAGCUAACAGUUUAUGCAGCUCCGGGCCAGGUUCAUGGCGGCCAACGGAAACUGAGAAGAAACUAGUACCGGAUAUUUGUCAUAGAACAUUUCUCAGACCGAAGCUAGAUCGUAAGACACAAACCGCCUGCUUUUAUGUCACCAGAUCGAAACAUACAUUCGUCAGUCUUUAUGCGGUGCACCGUAAGUAUAUGACCGUUCUCAACGCGUUUAUAGUUUCUAAUUAAUGAUAUGGCAAUAUUCCGCCUCCUGCUAUGCCCGGAACAAUACGCAACCAAAGCCGUCAAACUCAGUUCUCUAUGACCAGCUGGAAGUCGCUACAACGCCAUUCCGGGACUGGCCGCGCCAUUCCGGAACUGGCUGUACGACUCAUGAGAUGGCUGCAUCCACGCUAUUUACACGGACAAAACUCUUCCAAUCGGUGUCUUCCAACACCACCAUCCGGUUGUGUUUGGAUAGAUUUUCAGUAUCGGCAGGCGGCUGGCAGAGAUUAAGGCCUGACUUCUACUCCUGGAGAGUGCGGGUUCAAGUCUGCAAGCCAACUUUUUGGGUGUUCGAGAAGUGUUGAAAUGGCCCCCCAUCUUAUGGACGUUGUAGGACCUCAUAAUAUCAGCUUGCGAGCUGACCAGGAACUAAGUUGAGGCACCGUCGAUCAGCUAGAUUUGGUCGGAUGCAGGUGGUGAGUUAUUGAACCCACUGAAUACAUUCUGGGGUAAAUGGAUUAAGGUUGCUACAGGCUGCUCCCGGCCGACCCGGGUUCAAAUCCGCCUGCCGGCCUCUUGGGUGUUUGAGAGAUGAUGAAAUGGGAGGUGGCCCCCCAUCUUGUGGACAGUGUAGGACGUGAUAAAAUCAACUUGCGAGCUGACCAGGAACUAAGUUGAUGCGCCGUUGAUCCGCUAGAUUUGGUUGGAUGCUGGUGGUGAGUUGCUGAACCCAACGAAUACAUUCUGAAAUCGGAUGGGGUGAAUGGAUUAGGGUGCCCCUCUCGCAGGGGAGAGCAGGGACUGCCUCGGGAAAGGGGGCCACUGGCGAAGUAAACCACCAUGUAACAAUGUACAUACUAUAUCGGCUCGUGAGUCCUGCAUUACUUGUAUGAUUGCUUGGGCAAGGUGUUGGAACGAGGGUGCCAAAAGCCUUGGUGACGGCAAAUAUUUUCGUGCAGCUGGUUGGUUUAAGUGAACCAUGUAAGAUUCGUCCGACAUCAAGUGCGGUGAUACAACACAACCUAUGCUACCCACCUAUGCUACCCGCCCCUCCUCCUUUCAUCGCCUCGUCUGUGCUAACAACUCCAUGACAGACUAGGCGAGGGCUAUAGCAUACAUGCAUAAGUGUAAGGCUUCUCAUAGUAUAGGAAAAGCAAAGACAGCUAGCGCGGGUGCGAGAUGCCCUUAUCAUGAUCGAUUAUGUAUGUAUGACAGUGCAUGUGUACGUAAUGUACCUGCGAUAGGUGCACACGCACCAGCUCUUGACCAUACUUUGACUCCAUAAGCACCAGCAUCGGUAGCCUGCCGACCUACGCAUCAAAUUGGCAAUAUCCACACAUAUCGGACAUGUACGGAGCUUUAAAUCGGGCUGAGGCAUGUACGGCCUAAAAAUAGACAUAUGUAUUGAAGGCCAGGGCACAGGAUGCAAUGAAGGCAGGUGGUUCACCCUCACUUCACAAACAAUGGUGACCAACCGUGCCGGUCAACAUGCAGCAGGGUCAACGUUACUUUUGGUGGGUCUGUUAGUUUGCCCAGGUAGUGUCCCACACAUGUGGGUAGGCUCUAGUACAUGCAUACACUGCUUAAGGAGAGCAGCUCGUGUUGCAGCACCCUUUAACAUAAUGCUGUGGCAGGUGCGGUGGCCCAGAUCGAGACAAACGCAAGUGCAUGCUGUUAGGACGUGUUCACAUGUGGGCGAAUCAGGGUUGAUUCAUGCGAAUUGGACUCUGAAUUGGACCUGAUUGGACCCGAAUCGGAAUUGGGGUCCGGGGGGGCCUCUUCGGGUAUGAUUCGACGUGAUUCACAGUUUUCUUUCUCAAAACAAAGUUGUUUAACAAACCGUUUCUCAUAAUUACCAUUACAAUACUAUAGGAACAUUUUCCAAUUGUUAAUUCACGCAAAGCGCACCGAGCAUUUUUCACGCAUGCAGCUGCUGGCCGGGGAUGAGGAGGAGUGAAGUAGCUAGGGAUUCAAGUUGUUCGGUUGGCAUUGGUAGCAGUCUAUGUCUGCUGAACUUGGCCAGCAUGGGAUCUUGAUGGCAUACCAUGUCGGCUUUUGUGCAUUGCCAGGGCUUAGGAAUGAUGAUCUGGGCCCUGAUUCGUUGAAACCUUAACCCUUAGGAUAUGGAGUUAAAGAAGCAUCAAAGGGAUAAGCGCCUGUGACGUGUACUCGACCGUCCAGUGCGCCAUCGCAUGCUUUGACCCAUGGGAAUACUGCGGCGGAGUAUAAUGGCUUGUUUCUGUCGUGCAAUUGUGCUUCGCAACGUCCCAAAACUUAAUUAUUAUAACAAAUAGGGGGGUCCUUGUGAAGCAGCUGCCCGCGUUUCCAAAGCACGUAUGGUGUUGGAUUGUAAGGUGCCCAAGUACGUUUGCGAGGAAGAGGAUGUGGCCAGGCUGGAGAGGAAAGUGCAGUGGCAUAUUGGAAUGUGAGAUUGGCGCACGGGCGAAUUUACGUGUAUACCUUUCACCGUAGCAUCAGUCCUCAGUUCACUUUUUGGAACGAACAUCAGCAUAGGUCCAAGCCCUCUCGCUUGGAGGGAUAUGCAAACAAACAUCCUGAUAGGGGUAAACUCGCACGCUACCGAGCAUUCAACCGAGCACAUGCAUGCUUAGUUGAAUGGUGAGAUGCGACCCCCCCCCUUCAUUUCGUGCUCGGCAAGCCUCCCACCGCGUACCGGAUAUGUUAGCGAUGUUACAGAGACGCUGCACCUUGGUUUCUGUGCGCAAUGCGUACGCUGCUCGACCCCGCCGACCAAAACUACACGUGCCCAACUGAAGACAUUCCCGGUGGUUGUGCAGCAGCUCUUGAGGCUGUUGCUGGCUGAAAUCCAUCCUGAGCUGUUGCAACACGGCUAACGCGGGCACGUCCCUAUGCACAGCAAAUAGCUGUUCCAAGCCAACAGCGGCGUCCAUGUCACCGACAAGGCUCUAAACGUCUAUCUGUUCUUAUGUUAAAUUAAGUUUAUGUAUGUUAUACUUUGCGCAACUUUGUAAUUUGACUUUACUCUGAACAAGGUGCUGCAUACAACUGCCUCUUCGCCAGCGCUUCACCUUCCGCGGCAGUUUCACGAGCCCAGAGUUGCAAGCUACGACGUUGGCUUUCGUUGCUUUUAGUUACUGCAAAGCAGCCACGCAAUAGUCCAGCCUGCAUGCCGCGUGCGACUAUGGCCAGCAAGACCACCUGCGCAAUGCGCUGGCGCACUCCAAGAAAUUUAUAUACACUUGUACAGGCGCAUUUUGAGAAUCGCACGCGCGCAUCUGCGCGGCAAAAUUCGCUCCUGACUUUUUUGGGACGAUGUACGAACUGUUUUCUCGCGAAGUACGACCGGACACAUUUGUGCGAGGGGCUGCUUAAAUAUACCAUACAGAAUCAUCCUACAAAGUUUCAGAGCCAGUCAUGCAUUUCCCAGAAAGCUGCCAAAACUUGAGAUUAGAAUCUAACCCAUUCUAUUGAGAUCUAAUGAGAUCUCAAUAGAUUGAGAUGAGAAGACUUCCGCUUCUAAACCCAGGGGAUACCCUAGUCAUAACCUAGCGUAAUUAUUUCAUCCGGUGUCUAGGCCAUUCGUAGCCAACGAAACACUGGCGGCGAGCGCGCGCCGACGGGCGUCAUGGUUACCGGAACGCUAGUUCCUUUCGGCAUGUAUGAACCUGCACAAAGACUUACGUCCUUGAAACAUAUUCAUUAUGCGUAAUAUUGGCCCCGGGUAAGAACAUCCCAAGGGAAGGCGGCCUGGAUAACUCUUGUCAAUGAAAAGUACCUUCCGACCACCCCAUAAGCGCCGACAUCCUUCCCCCUUGAUGUGUCGAAAUCCCCCCGGACACACCCAGUACUUAAUUAACGCGCCAGAAGGAUUUGCUCGACUGGUCUUGGAGCACCGAUGCCGGCCCGGCCCGGGCCUUCGAGCGCUUUUCCUCACCGACUUGUCCCAGGCAGCGCAGGUACGACAAGAAGUCACACUACCAGCUAAUUAACACAGAAAUCCUGCAUGUGUAUGUAUGUAUGUAUGUGUGUGUAUGUAUGUAUAUAUAUAUGUAUGUAUGUAUGCGACAAACACACACCCCAUGAGGGAGCCGCUUGAGGAGGGGAGGGGAUGACAGCAGUAUAUAGUAGCAGGCUCCUCUCUCUUCCCUUCCCUCCGUCUAUGCGUGGAGUGCGAGUCUUUCUAUCUCUGGUAUCAACAUCACUCGCCCUGUGUUCCAUCUCCAUCUUUAAACAACCCCCCGCCCCUCAGGGCUGGCGGUUGUGGUGGUUGUGAUCGGGGGUUAAGAUGAACCACUGACGUUUGAAGCAGAUACCAGAAUAGACUGAUAGUGGGGGGGAGAUGGGGGGGAAAGCACACACACACACAAUCACGUUCUCACAGACACCCAUUGGGUUUUAGUCCUUCCCCGGCGCCUCACACCUGUGUAUCGCCUGGUGCGCCCCAGCCACACACCCCACCCCCCUCCCUCCCUCAUUCACUCACACACAAAAAAACACACACACGAGGGGGGGGAACUCUCAUCGGACGAACCUCCCCUCCGGGGAGACCUUCAACCCCGCGAGGAAGGGAAGGUUAACCGAACUCUCUAUCUCGCAUUACUGCUCUCCUUUCCCCACAACCACCUUAACCACCUUAACCACCUUAACCACCACAAACCGCAGGGCGGCCUAGGUGGCUUACUGCUCAGGUUGCGCCAGGACGGCCAUGCGGCACUUCGGCUUGUGGGACCGGCUGGUAUGUACGGAAACUGGUACAGUACGGCAGCUUGCUGUACGGGAUGAACCCUGUAACUCGGGGCGUUUCAGGUCGCGAGGGGCCCCCUCGAGGGAGAAGAUGGGCUCUGUGGCAUCUGAAACCCAGAACGUGUCACACGCGACACGACGCGUCGCUAAACACAUGGCACGUGUCCGUGCCUACCCGCCCCACCUCAUAUGGCCACAUUGGUUGCCCCCACGACAGGCCUGUACGACACCGUGGAGGGCCUGUCGUACUUUGUACGGUGCACGCAUCCUGCGCUGGAGCUUACGAUGCUGACGUCCGCACAGCAGGGUUGUGUGUACGACGACGAGUGUUUGGAAGUACGGCCGGUCUGGCGGAACUCGCUGCUGUGGCAGGUACCCCCCUGGCUCAGUACGGCAGAUCUGGCCCCGGGAUCAGCAAGCGGUGGCGCCGCGGAGGCCCAACAGCGGUUUCGGAGCUCUGCAUGUAAUCCUGCGAACGUAACCGCAGCUCCGGAACCAUUUGGCGACGGUGGCGGCGACGGCGUGAUCGGGCCGGAGGAGGGGGCCGAUGGAGAUUCGGAUUGGAUGCUCAACGCGCGGCCACGAAAGCGAAAGAGGCCGCGGCGACGUCAGGGGGGUGGAGCUCGCUUAGGCGAGGCACUAGGCGUGGCUGGGGCUGGGGCCCCGCAACAAAGAACCGCAGCCGAGGACGGGUCUGAGGAGAGGCCGCUGCCGCCACGGAGGAGUCGGCGGCUGUACGACAGCAGUGGCGGAGGCGCCGACGUCGCUGUCACGAAGAAUCCGGGGCAGCUCAAUAGCAGCAGAAGCAGUAGUGAGGAUGAGGCGAGGGCGGGGGAAAGGUGGGGGCAAUGCCGUGCCUAGGCACACUGCCAUCUUUGCAUGCGCUCCGUGCCUCAAUCCAGAGGGCUUCGGCGGCGGCGGCGGCCCUUCGUGCGGCGUGCGACACUGUAUCCCGAGGGAAAGAAGAAGCGCCGCGAUCGGUGUCGGAGGUGUCGUGGGAUUUAGGAUCCUGCAGUACGGCAAGUACUACCGCCUGCGACAGCAGGGAGGAGGCGGAAGAGAGCCUGAAAAGAACAAGCGGCGGUAGCGGCGGCGGCACUGGCAGCAGCAGCAUUAGCAGCAAGGGUGGAGUCCCUGAGAGUGGUGGAGAUAGCAGCAGCGAUGCGAGUGACGGCGGAGGUACGCGGAGCGACACGAGGGCGGAGGUACGCGGAGCGACACGGAGGGUGAUGGCGAUAGCGAUGAGGGUGCGGCGGCAGCGGCGGCGGCGCUGGAUCGCGGCCGUCCUGGGAGAAACGGCACAGUCGCCGCUGCUACUGCAGCUGUUACCGCAGCGGCGGCGGGAGCUGGCGGCGGGAAGCUGCACAGCAGUAGCAAGAUACGGGGUGACCACCUGGACCUGUUUUCUGAAUUGGAUCGUUUGUUCAUGGCCAGCGGCCCAGUGGAGCGUCGUCCAGCGGGGGUGUACGGAGUCGUACGACAUGGUCGCGCGGCAUCAGGCGGAGGCGCUGCCGCCGCCAGGCGCAGCGGUCGUGUGCUGGCUGCAGCUGUCGGCGGCGGCGGCGGUGGCACGGCGGCGGUGCCGCCACCGCCGCCGCCGCCAGGACCUGCGGCAACUUUGACCUCGAAGGUGGCGCUGCGGUCGCAGGUUCUUGAGCGCCUUAGAUCCGCGGUCGGCGGUCAUCACCUGGAAACCAGAGCUACGCUGCCGCCGCAAGGUGUACGGCGUACGGCGGCAGCAGCGGCGGCGGCGGCGGCAACCCCUAGCAGCACCGUCGCCGCCAGGUGGAUGACGCUGCCAGGGCUGCAGCCGCCGCCGCUGUCGUCAAUGCGACAACCGCCGCCACCGGUGCCACAACCGCCACCACAGCCAAGCAAGGCCACCCGGCCGCCAGACGACAACCCGCUUGCCUACCUCCUCUACCCGAAACACACCCGUCAGGCGGUGUUGGUAGUUGCCACCGGCGACUUGGCUGCCAUACGGUCGCUGGCGGCUCACCCCGUGUCGAAGCUGCUGCACCGAGCGCCGUCGGGGUUACUGCUCGCGGUAACGCAUGUGGCGGCGGCGGCGGUGACGUGGCAGGGGCGGUACCGCCAGCUGGCGGAGCGGCAGCUGCCCGGGCCGCACGUGUGGCUCAAGCCUGCCGCCACCGCGGCGACGAUGACGGUGGCGGCGGUGGCGGCUGUGCCGCCGCCGCCGCUGGCAGGACUUGGCCAUUUGGGUUCCGCUAGGGUGACGAUGCGGCUCAACACGGUGGCACCGGCCAUCUUUCCGUUGCCGUACGAGCUGCGUGUACGGCAAUGUGCGGCGGCGGCGCGACGUGGCGUGGCGAAUGAGGACGUUGGGGAACGUGGUGUGGACGCUGUGGACCUGCAGCUGGAGGACAACAUUGCUGCUGCCGCCGCCGCCACCGCCGCCACGGCGGCGGCAGCGGCGGCCGAUCCAACGGCGGCGGCCGCGGCAGUGGAGCCAACGAAGCCGGCGGCGUUGCGCGAGGUGGUGCCCAAUGCUGGCGACGAGCCUACAGGGCCCAGCCCCCAGCCGUUACAGGGGCAGGGGCAACAGCUACAGCCGCCGCCACGAGCGCUGGCGGAGCCGGGAGAUCAGCCUCAGCUGCAGCUCAUUGCGGAGCGUGAGGAGCCGCGGGAGGGCACUGAACCAGCAGCUACAGCCACAACGGUGGUUGGUAACGGGCACGUGGCGGCGGCGGCGGCCGUACAUCGACCGAUGGGUCGCAAGGCCAAUGGCGACCGCCGGGGGGCUGAUGGGAUCAUCACGCAACACCGCAACGCGGCCAAAAGCCGUGUCGCGUCGCUGCUAGAUACGCUGAUGGCGACGUGCGUUGUUGUACAACAUGGCGGCGGCGGUAGCGGCGGCGGUGGUGGGGGCACCGGAGGAAAAUCCCAGGGCUUCUCAACUUCCGACACGGACGACGACAGCAGUAGCAGUAGUGGUAGCGGUAGCAGUAGCGACGGAGAGCAACAGAGGCAGCAGCAGAUCCAGGAGGAGGAAAAGAAGCACGAGUGUCAUCAGGAAGCGGCGGCGGUCCUGGUGCAUUGGUGGGAUGACGGCCCGGGCGAUGGCGGCGGCGGCGGCAGGCUGGGAAACGAGGCGGCGGCUGUGGCGGACUUGGUUCCGGAGCAGAUGCUUCCACCGGUGGCGGAGGUGCAGCGGAGGCCGUUGUUGGAGAGAAGAGAUACCGGGUUGUUGCAGAUGUUGCAGGUGGGCGCGUGUGUGUGGGUAUGUAUGUAGGUAGGUGAGAUCGUUGGAUGCGGGGAUUGUAUGUGAGGAGCAGCAGCAGCGGGAUGAGGGGGAGGGUGAGGAGAAGGAGGGGGAGGAAGUGCCCAUGCUGUGUCCGCGUUGGUGUUGGCUGUAACGAGGUCGUUAAGGGGGGUGCAGGGUUUUCCGUUGGGUUGGUUGGUUGGUUGGUUAGGCGGGUUUUCGCUCUCUUCUCCUUAGACUUAGGGUCUUAGGGUCUCCUUAGACUUAGACACCAUCCUAAUGCUCACUUACCUUCCCCUCCCUUCCACCCCCGCUCCGAAACCAACGAACGUCCCGGGCGGGCCAACCGCUUCGCCAUGGGCGCGUGGCUCAACAUGCUGGACGUACACGUGCGUUUUUGUGUGCUCCAUUCGACGUACAAGGCCCUCCGUCGUACAUUCCCGCACCUGACACGCACGGCAAUGGCUCAGCGAUUCCUCCUCAACCAGCAGCCGCCCCGGCAGGGGGCGAGGGGUCCACAAGUCUCAAGCAGGGACAUAUCCCCGGAGGAUAUCACCCACCGGCGGAUGGACCAGUCACCAUCAGCAGCCUUCCAGCAGCAACAGCAGGUCUCGCAACAUCAUCAGCCGCAACACCAGCUGCAGCAGCAGCAACAGCAAACACAUUUGCAGAUGGAGCGGCACCAACAACAUCAUAAUUACCAACAACAUCAUAAUUACCAACCCGCCGGCCACUGGGCGAACGGCGGCGGAGGGGGACGUACGGCGGGUGGCAGCAGCAGCGGCGGCGGCGGCUUGACGGCAGAGGAGGAGCUAGCGGCAGCCGCGGCGGCGUACGGCACGCCGGAGCAUACCGGCGGCGUCAUGCGGCCGUCAUACUCUUACGCAUUGUACCCGGAGAAUGAGCUCCGUGCCCUCCCGCUGGCCGCACCCCCUGUCUUUGGCUGGCAGUGCGGCAGCAACGUCGGUGGCGGUGGCGCCGGCGGCGGCGACGCUGUACUGCAUUCUCUGCGUCGAAAUAGCGACGUGUACGGCAACCGACUGCACUCGCCGUGGCCAGCAGCUUCGCAUGGCCCUCAUGGCGCGUGGACCGGCCAACCAAUACCGUUGCCGUGCUUAAAAUCGCGUUAGGUCGCGUUAAACUCGCGUUAAAUCCUCGUAACGCGAAUUUAACGCGACGUAACGCGAUCACCCGUUGUCAUAGUGGUAGUACGGCACGCACUAAUAAUACAUAUACACGCUAAAGCGCAAUUCCAGCAUCUAUAGAGGCCUUUCCAGCGGCCAGCUACUACCAAUAUGCCACGUGGCAUGCGUGAAGCUGACAGACGUUUGUAGCGGACCUAACAGGCUGGGGCCUUGGGCCCCACCGACAGUAUCCUACUACGGCAGGAGUGCUAGAGAUUCGUCCGGCAGGUAGGCCGAGAUAUGAGCUUCUUCACCCAGGCAGGAUGCUCUAGCCAGACACUUAAGUAUUACGACUACUUGGUGUUCGGAGGUCAAGACUCUGCUGCCGCCGGUCUAGUUAUACUGUACCUGUUCUGUAUUCUAGUGUCUGCUGCUGGGCUGGACUUCUUCCCGUCUCUUCGAAGGCGAUCUGCUCUACACUUCCGCAAGGCCAGUCGUCUGUAAAGGUGAGUGACUGCUACACCUUGCCUUCCACUGCCGUGCCGCCCGGUGCACAUGCUGCCACUGCCGCCAGCUGCGUAACUCAUUGUUAUUCUCCCAUCACUACACUUGCCCUUGGGAUGUCCUGGUUGGACGUCUGCAUUGGCUUUCUGUCUAUGUCGACCGCGGCCGUGUGUGAACUGUGUGGGAGCCUCUCCCAGUUCCAUCCGUCACCAGCCGAAAUGCUGUACCCCGCGAGUUGCGGUCAAAGCUGACCCUAAGUGUGCCUCCCCGCAGCCACCACCUCCAUUCGAGUGCACCUUUACCGGUUCGGUGAGCUGUCUCGGCAGGCUCUCUCCUGGAUUCUGCCGCCACUCAAUUGUGGACUUGCUGGGCUAUCGUGCAGCUGUAAUGGUGCUCAACUUGCACCCUCGCUGCCUGGGCCUCCACCAUGCUGCCUUCAGGCUGCACCACCUUCACAUGCCUGAGCCUUCUUCAGUUAGACAGGCCUCCUCUGCGAGCUGCCUUCAUCCACCGUCACUGCUACUCCAGUGCUGUCUUUCACAGGUGGAAGUUGCGACCUCACGAUCGUGGCCUUUACACUGCUAAUCACAUACCCGUGAGCCAGUGUUUUUUUUCCGUUUUGGGCCUAGUACCCUAGAGUAAUAAACUGGGUGUUUCUUGCGGUUACUAUUCCUAUUUUAGUCGCUGGGGGGGGCUGCAUGCCCCCCAGACCCCCCCCCUCAAAGGCCUUACGGUGUGCUGUAAGCAACACCUGANNNNNNNNNNNNNNNNNNNNNNNNNNNNNNNNNNNNNNNNNNNNNNNNNNNNNNNNNNNNNNNNNNNNNNNNNNNNNNNNNNNNNNNNNNNNNNNNNNNNNNNNNNNNNNNNNNNNNNNNNNNNNNNNNNNNNNNNNNNNNNNNNNNNNNNNNNNNNNNNNNNNNNNNNNNNNNNNNNNNNNNNNNNNNNNNNNNNNNNNNNNNNNNNNNNNNNNNNNNNNNNNNNNNNNNNNNNNNNNNNNNNNNNNNNNNNNNNNNNNNNNNNNNNNNNNNNNNNNNNNNNNNNNNNNNNNNNNNNNNNNNNNNNNNNNNNNNNNNNNNNNNNNNNNNNNNNNNNNNNNNNNNNNNNNNNNNNNNNNAUAUAUAUAUAUAUAUAUAUAUAUAUAUAUAUAUAAUAAUAAUAUUAUAUAUAUUAUUAUUAUAUAUAUUUAUUUAUAUAUAUAUAUAUAUAUUAUUAGGCGGGCCUCCUUAGCUAGCUGCCUAUUGCAGUUGCUAAACCUGCCGUUGGUGCCGUCCUGAAUGACCGGCCACAGCAGUUUUUAACCUUCACACCCCCCACCGUCGGCUGCUGCCUACAUGUGCCCUUCACUGGCAUCGUUUUGAUGUUAUGCCUUCCUUGCUGUACUUCACUGGUCGCCACUAUUCACUGGCCGGUACCAACCGCACCAUUGCCGCUGUCAUCCAGAUGCAGCAGUCUUAAGGUGCGAGCUGCCUGCUGCAGCUGCCAGAACAGCCUCCGAGCCGCAUGUAGCGGACUGCAGCAGCGGCUUUCUCCUCGAUGUGCCGCCAUUGGCGGCCGUUCUAUACAUGCAGCUGCAGUUCAGUGGCUUCCUAAGCGAUCGGCCUCCUACAGUCGCUAAACACGCAUUUGUGGCCGACCGCCGCAGCGGCUUUUGUCCUAAGUUCCCCGCCAUUGGCGGCCGCUAGCUGCAUGCAGCUGAGCAGCCUUCAGUUCGGCAGGCCGCCUCGACAAGCGGGCAUCCCACGCGAGCGGCCUCCUGCAGUCACUAAACAUGUAUUCGUGCCGCACUUAGCAGACCGCCGCGGGGUUGUUUGGUCUUGGACUGUAGCUGGACGGCGAGACAGCAGACGUAUGUGUCGCCCAAUCGUUCGGGGCUUUUAAUGUGGUGCCGAUAGGUAAUACAGUUUCACAGGAAAGCAUGUAGUCACAUGCAAUUUGGAUUGCGUAUUGUAUGAUAAACCUGGAUAAACAAGUGCUUCUUUGCUACAUUCUGUACCUCCGGUUAUGCUUGAGGAUGUGUUAACCAUGGUACAUACCAAAGCUCAAUGCAUAUAUCUUCAUCGCCUUGUGUGCGGUUCAUGUGUGUUCUGCCCAUAAUCGGGUGCACACUGAAAAUACAUGCAUGCGCAUGUGGAUUAACUUGCUAAUUGUGUGUGCUUGUUGUUUAAGCCUUUCGCACUGAUCAAUUGUUAAAGUCAACCAAAUAAGCGCAAAUCUAGUCUCAAUAAACCCUCUUAAGUAUAAAUACUCAUUCCGUAAUUAAUGUUCCUGAAUGUUCUGUCAAAAGGGCCCAUUUUCAGCUUUGCCACAGCCAUCGUGCAUUAGCUCUGCGUUACGAAACGCAAGCAUAUACGCAUCUAACGUUAUGAAACGGGACGCAACACAAGAUAACACGACCUAACGCUAGUCACCCUUUGCCCUAGUGACCACAUGUAUUUGGGCAGAGGGGCGGCGGACGGCAUCCAGAGGCGUGUGCUGCUGCUCCUGACGCGUGUUGCCGUCCUCUUCCUUGAACACGUACAACCAUUUGGGGGCGGACCUGUUGAAAGCGUGCAGCAGGCAGCAGCUGUGCUGUAGUGUACAGUCGAUUGAUUGCUUGAGGGUGUGUCGGCGGCAGGAGGACCGCAAGCAAAAGGCACGUGUGCAUGUCUUGGCAUGCUUCAGCAAAAGCGGAUUUCGUGAACAUCCUGUCAUGAUGACCGUCAUGAAGUUGCAAUCGUGGAUGGCCAAGGGACUAUUCGCCAUGUUGCCAUACAAGAUUUUUGCCACAAGCGGCUGUAGUUGCUGUCGUACAAUGCGGCACACAUGGUGCUGAAGCACUUUGCCAGCACCUCGAGCUUAAACGAGAGCCGCCUUUCCAGCGGCCAGCUAAUAUAUACACUUGAGCCCUGCCUGGCACCCGCAAGCUGAACUCAACUAUGACCCUCUCCGCUUCUCUCCGUCCCCUUUCUUCGGCUGCUCCACAAGGCAGCCCUAGCCUGAGGUCCGAUCAUGUACAUCCAACCUGUGUCUUCCAACUUACAAGCAAGAUUUGGGCAAGCCAGAUUCGAUCUCCAGUAUCAGCCUUGCCUUGAGCAGCAUCCACUCCUGCUUGGAAUGCGUCUGAUAUGAAGUGGUCAUGGUCGCAAUAAGCAGGUUCAGCAGGAUGAUGGAUACGAAGAGCGAGAAGCUGAUGAGCAUUGCCUGUGGGUAACAGAUGGAGCAGCAACGGUAGGCAGGUAGGUGCAGGGAGCAAGAGGGUGCAUCUUAGCUGAUGGUGUGGGCAGCAGAUGGAGCAAGUAGCGAAUAAUAGGCACCCCACCUACACCGCCAUAAGACAUCAUCCACAUCCGUAUUAGCUCAGCAGCCAGCAUGGGUUUAAUGCGGAAGUUAGCAAUCUGUCGUGUGGCAACAUACAUCGGGGCUAAUCUACCUAUGAUACGCAUGGUUUGUAUGGGGCGUGCAGCAGCACACCGUGCAACCACUGCCAAACGAAACAGCCUCGAACCUCCUUAAAAACCAUCCUACAUACAUACCAUUGCAAGGUUAGUAAGUGUUCAAAGGCAAUCAACGGAACUCAUAUAGACUUCAUAGAUGGACGACCCACGUCAGUAAAAUUCCUCUCGCCUGUAGACGAUGGCCCCGUAAAUAGAUAGGGACCGGCCCUAUCUAUUAUAGGGGGCCUUGGUCUAUAGGCGAUGUAAGAGGGAUCAGCUCCCCUGGCAUCUCCCAACUGAGUACUCUUUGCCUGGUGUUACAUUGGUGCGAAUUGCUAGGAGGUGGGAAAUCACCGGAUCGACUCCGGAUGCGAACAUGUCGCACACCAGGCAUGAUGCAGCAUACUCUUACCCCAAAGGUCGAUGCCCGGGCGGGCGAUAAGUAUAUCAGCUGAGUAAAAAACAAAGUCCUCCAUCUCAGACGGGGACUGACGAAAUGUCAAUAACACUCAAAUACACAAUUCUACGGGAUCUCAAACAACCAAAAUCCUACGGGAUAUGCCUUGGGGCGCCCGAGGACGUUCACUCGAGGGGGGGAGGAAUGUAAGAGGGAUCAGCUCCCCUGGCAUCUCCCAACUGAGUACUCUUUGCCUGGUGUUACAGGCUAGAGGAAACUUUACUUACGCAGCAGGAAGUAAAAAUCAUUAAAAUAAUAAUACACUAUUCCAAUCGGCAAUCAUGUACAGCGCCAACUGCCUAAACAUAUACCGACUCCUAGCUAUGUAUGCACCAGCCAUGCAUCAUGCCAAUAACGCCACAACGAACUUACGUGGAGGUACCAUACGUACUUCGCCUCGCCAUCCACGCCCUUUUCGAUGCCGCCGGCCGCCUACAUUGCAUGCAUACCCAGGAACAGGUAGGUAUUGUAACAAGCUACAUUUACCUUAGAAUAUCUUUAAGCUAUUAAAGCUUAAUCACAGUAACGGUACAGUCCCGUAGUUACGAACCAUACUCGUUAACUGUACGAACUCACUUUCUGUUACGCUAUCACAACCUAGCGUACGACACCAAGACUCCAGGAAUGGAGAUGGUGGCAGGUGGCCGCAUUUAAGCCACCCAGGUGGAGUGCUUCGGCCAGACACUUAUCGUAUCACUAUACCAGUGUUCGGAUGUUCGAGACACCGCUGUCACCAUUCUCGAUGUAUGUCUUCGAAUUCCGACUUCCCGUAUCUGUUCUCGCGCCUAUCGCUGGGUCGUCAAUCGUGGACGAGACCCUCCUCUUCCGCUCAAACAGCUAAGGUAAGAGACGGCUGUUACAGGUAUAUAUCACCGGCAACUUACAUCAUCCGCAAUGCGGGCGGGGUGGAGAAGAAUUCAUCAGAGGACAAUAAUAAUAUGAGCUAGGGUAAUAUUAGGAAUUAAAAAAUGCCCACGCAGUUGCACAGACUUUAGUUUCCCCUGCACCCUGACUUCAAUUUCGGCGGCAGCUCGUCAGGGAGUGGCUGGUGCAUACAUAACGAUAGGUAGCUCAUUUACAUUUACCUUGGAAAAUACUAAGCUAAUCAAGCUGAAUUUAUAAAGCGGCGCGAUGUAAGAAUUACGAACUGCACUCGCUAAUUGUAGGAACUGUCUCCGUUAAAGGAGUGUCAUGAUAUCGUAUCGUGACAGGAGGGUCAUCAUAUCAGAUCGUGACUCCAGGAAUGAAAGGUAGCGCUACGCGGUAGGUGGCUAGCGGUAGGUAGGUGGCUGGCGGUAGGUGGGCCGCAAAUAAUCCAUCUGGCCAGGACACUUAGGAUAAUUACACGGUCGUGUUCGGGGUUCAACAAGUUGUCAACCCUGUCGACGCCGUUCCUUUGUUAGGUCAAGCAAGUCGUAGACCCAAGCAAAGCAAAUCUGAAGCUGUGUGGUGUGUGUCGCUGUCUAUGUGUAACGGUAUUACACAUUAUUAUUACAGCAGGUAUCACAGUCUCUAACGAUCUGCAGAUGGUAAGAGGAACCGGCAGCAGAGCAAGCAACUUGAGAUCCCAGGUAAUGUAGUUUGUGUGUCUGCCUGUGUGUCUGUCUGUAUGUGCGUCUGUUUACCCAGGUACUACUCCGCCCCAUCCUGUCCCAGCCCUUCACUUCUCUUCGGUGGGUAAAGUGCUGCGGCGGGUACACAGAGAAUGCUGUACGUGUACGUUGCUUUGUCGCAUUACCCACUUUCGCCAUAUGUACCAGCCAGCGGCACUACACAGCUCGAUCAGUGCCUACACAAGCAGAAUAUUUGCACUGCCAGCAUCUUGAAGAAAAGUGUUUUUGUUGGGCGAGUAGUUACCGCACAGUGGCACGCACCUGUUCUUUGCUCUCUCUCUUCUGAUGUAUUGGCUAUUGAAGACGACUUAUAAGUUAAUUAACUGCCUUUCCUAUCUUUGUCCCGGUCAUCACCCGUUACCAACUCCCUGUGUAUCCCUUUUCCCCCCCUCGUGUGCCUCUGUGUGCAUUUUAUCCCAGGCUUGUUCCCGCACACUCUCCCUUACAUACUUCACGUACAUACAUUCCUCCUAUCCUCUUUCAUACCAUGAAGUAGUAGACCGAUAGGAAGCUGUUGGGGAAGCCAUUAAAUAACUUGGUGAACUUGUCGGAAGUGUUGCCGCCACCAUCAUUGACCGCCUGACCACAAACAAACGGGGCAGAUGGACUAUAAGAUCAGACAAAGAGUGAUCACGGGAGAUGCCAAGGGGAGCUGAUCCCUUCUUACAUGGGCGGUGCGAUGAAUCUCAGUGUGAGUGUUUUGGACAGGAGAGGGCGGGGCGGGGCCCACAUACAUGGUGUGAUAGACCGUAGAGUGCAGCAGGGCAAAUAUGAUGCUGCAUGUGUGUGUUGGUACAAACCCGAAAGGGUUCAUGUAUCAGUAGCAGCCAUGAUGUCAUGGUGGCGAGUUAGGUGCACAUCUGAUGGCGGACACUGCUUUGCAGUGAUCAAAGUAGGGCUUCAGACACAGCAAAUUUUUUUAGGCGCGGCAUAAGAGCCCCUGAAAGGCUCCAGGAUCGAUCCUGACCGUAAGAGGGUGGAAGCACCCCUAUGCCGACAGACAGUGACCGACACGGUCAUAGUGGCGACCUGUGAGCCGACCAGGACUUGAGUUGGCACCGCUGUUGAGUUGGCAAAUUCCAUGCUAGUGCACUAUGUUGUAUCCUGUAAGCUUCUUGGCUCCAUUAUCCAACUGUCAGUGGUUACCUCGUCCGGUCCGAUUUGCUAACACCUGUAUAUUUCCGCUGUCAGUGAUUACAGCCUGUAAUUUACAGGUCUAAUACUGAUAUUAGUUUACUGGCGGCUACUGUUAGCUGCGGUGGCUAAAGCGACUACUGAUAGUCGUCCGGCAUCCGAAUGCCGCACCGCUGCAAAAGUCCAUACCUGUGUAGUAUUCUGGGUAUCACGGGAUGUAGCAUCCGCCGAUCGGUUCUUUUCCUGCGAUUAGACGUGAUACAAAAACCUGAGUAUGGGCGGGGGCUUUACCUGAAUAAAUCUGGGACCUGCGUCCCUGGUACUGUCUGAUUAUCGGUUGGGGGAAUAUCCGUCUGCGGAUAUCGGUUCCAUCUACGCCGCCCAGUCAGACUGGGAACAAUCAAGGAUAUGCUGGUGUUGGGCCCAGGUGGACUCUGCUGGAGAUUAUAAUCCAUCCAUUUGCCUCAAUCGGUAUCUUUCGAUACCUCCAAUUCAUGGCUGUGUUGUCUGAAGCUUACUACACACUAGUGCACCACGUGGUGAGAGCUAAACCCCCAAUAGCCACCAACUCCUCAUAAGUCGGCAUGAAUGGGUGAGAAGGAUGAGGGUGUCCUGAAACAUCGGGUUAGGGAGGGACUGCCAGGCUAGUGGCCCCGCCCUGUUUCACAAAAUUAUACAUAUAGCAGCCACGCACCUGUGUAACCCUGGAUAGCUAACCAACGUGGUGUGAUGCAUCGCUGUAGGGCACCGUAGCUUUCCCCUACCCUUCAAGGGUGCCACGUUUCUAGGGUGCCACGUUUCUAGGCAGCAGGUAUUAUAUUUCCAUGCUAUGCAUGUGACUGCUUUCCUAGCUACGUAUACGUCAGUAGCCAGGCGGGGUAUGGGCUAGCGUUUGAAUUAAAGGAAGGUGAUGUUGCAAAUACAGAUGCGACACCUUAGUGAUGAGUUACCUGUUGCUCGUAGUAUAUGAUGAACUGCCGGAAUGUGAAUGCGUACGUGGCCAGUGUAAUCGCCACAAUGAGCAGGAAGGGGCGCAGGUCUUUGAAGAUGCGGAUAAUGAUCUGCACAUAGAUGCCCGUUCCCUCCAGACCUAUGGGCGGCAAAGGGGAGUUUUCAUGAGAAUUCAUCGUUCGUUACACACUAAGGGUACCUGCAAGCAGUAAACAGCCGUCUUCAAUCGGUAGGUAGGCCGGGUGAGGGCCGGCUACCGUGAAGGCUAUCGCUACGGCCUUGACGCCUACAGCCUCACGGCAACCACCCUAUGUAGCGACAAAACCCGAAAAUCAGUCCUCCAAGCACUCGUGAACUCCUUAACUGGCACCAAGUGCCGUACCAACGCCCUUAUGAGGGCACAACUCCUCUGAGUUCACAGAAAACCUUGGUUUUCUAGUAGGGUUGGCAAAAAUACUAUAUUUAUUUUCCCAAUAGUACUAUAUAUAGUACUAUUUCUUACUAUACUAUACUAUUUGCAAAUAGUAUAGUAUAGUAAGAAAUAGUACUAUAUAUAGUGAUAUAGUACUAUGAUACUAUUACUAGGCAGGUACACGCUCCCUGUAGAAGGGGGGUGUACGACCAACCGUUGUACCUGAAAAUUACACCGUUGGAAAGGUCUUCUUUUGUUCUUUCUAAAUAUCUACUUAGACAUGAGAAAGCAGAUCGCUGUGGUCAUCCAGAUCACUUUUUGUUAGUUCAGUGCCCGGUAGGUGGACCCCAAACCCCAUGUCUCAAGGCAACUCGGGCUUCUCGAUCAGGUGAAUAGGCACGUUGUUCCUGUAGAAGAACAUGCCAAGCUCCUCCACGACUUGCCCCGCGAGAGUCGCGGGAAUCACUGGGAGGAGGGUCUGGCCAUCAAUGCCGCGCCGGCGCUUGGAGAGGGCCUGCUGAUCCGCCGUGCUGGGGCCCGCCACAGCAGAGCUGGUUCCACUCUGUUGCUGUUGCUGGCUGAGUGACGCUGCACGCUGUUUGAUAGCCUUGCAAGCACCUUGCUUGAUGUGGUGCGCGUUGGUAAAGGAUGGGUUCACUGCGCUGAGCGGCUCAUCGCAGAACAGGCAGACUAGCUUUGGUACACCACCCCACCACUCCACAUCGAAGUUGUCCCAAAGACUACCCGUCUUGGCGUUCUUCUUCUGGUUACGAAGCUUGUUAAAAAGCUCGUUCCGAGAACGGAGAACUUCAGGGGGGACGUCUGGACCAGGAUGCAAGCCUCUGAUCGCCUUCUCAUUCUUUAUACUGGAUUCCUUUGACAUUAUUCAUCAAUAACUACGUAGCACAGCUCGAAGACGCGGCUAUAGCCCUUCAAAAUACAGCUUGACUGCAGAUCUCGACUUGGUCCAACUAGUACUGGACACUAUCCAAACCCAAAUCUAGUACUAUCUACUACUAAUUUUUACUAUACUAUUUUACUAUGUACGAACGCGGUACGAGCGUCGUAAACUAGUACCAGUUUAGAGCCCUGCAUAGUAAAUAGUACUAUGCAUAGUACUAUUAUAGUAUAGUACUCUUUUCUAGUAUAGUACCCGUGCCAACCCUAUUUUCUAGCGUUGCACUCAGAAAACCUUCAGUUACUUAGGCAAUUUGAGCUUAAUGAAGAGAUCGAUAAGCAAGAUAGGUUGGAUAUGCAAAGCGGUGGGCAGGGUCCACACUGGAACAUCUGCAUGUAUACUCAACUGUGAGCCAAGCAGCCAACCAGGCAAUUUGAGCUUAAUGAAGAGAUCGAUAAGCAAAAUAGGUUGGAUAUGCAAAGCGGUGGGCAGGGUCCACACUGGAACAUCUGCAUGUAUACUCAACUGUGAGCCAAGCAGCCAACCAACCCACUAAACGUCGACACCACCUGGCUAAAGAUGUCCAAGAGCACGCCGACUGGAUGAAUCUAUCAGCUCCAAGUGUCAAGUUCUAACACACAGCAGCUAUGUAGUCCGUACUUCACACAUACAUACACACAUAGGUGUCACCCGGAAGCAGGUCUGGCUAGUACAGCCCCCGACCGGCUGCAAGCAGGCCCCCUGGGACGUGAUUGCUCUAGCGGCCCUGGCUGCCAUGGAGGUCGGCAGAUGCUGCCUGAGGGUGGCCAGCAGGAGACAGGAAAGGGCGGCAAACCAGGAGCCGCCGCCGCAACAGCUAGCUCAGCAGGUACAGGUGCAGGGCCCCAGGCAGCAGCGGAUAACGGACUUCUUCCCCCCAGCCGACGGGGUGGGACCACAGGUGGGGCCCGCACUGAACGCGCCGGGGGACGAGGACCAAACACUGGGGCGAAAUACAGAGACAGGGGCAGUAGAAACAGCCGCAACCACAGUGGCCGCAACCCCCUUGGAGCGAGCCCGCGCCCAUGCAGUGGUGGACUUCUGGAUGCGUUUACCCGCUUUCGCAGUGCUGGGCAUCCGGCGAAGGGGCUGGUGGGAUGGAGUGUGACCUGACCUCCCGAUCUUAUUGGUUGCAGAAGCAGCAAUGUGAUGCGCGGAGGCGGUCGAAAUGCAGCUUAAUAGCGCUUGUGGGUGGAUUAGGCAGGGCAGGGCUCGGGUGUUGUAUGGGAGGUUGAGGAUGAUUGGGACUGGUGGGGGGAAGGGAAGGCGGGUGGGGGGUGCAGGGCUCUUAAGGGUUGGAGGGUGGUGUGGGGGGCAGAGGGCAUUAGGAUGGGUGGGAAGGAAGGGGUGGAGCUGAAAGUGGCCGGUGGGGAGCCAAGGGGGAAGUGUUUCGUUGGCUGGGGGAGGGGAGGGGAAAGGGGGGAAAUGGUAGUGAGGGGCAGGGAGGGGGGGACAGGGAGGGAGGGGGUCAGUUUUCGCCUAACACCACGCUGAUGGGAAGGGUUUGGAGAGACUGGGAUAGCUGGGGGCGAUCAGGGAGGGGAUGGGGUAAGGCUGAGAGAGCGCCAAGAGGACGUAGGUCUUGGGGAAUCAGGAGGUAGAACACCGGUGGUUGCAGCGGGGCUCGGAUGAGGGGGAGGUGUGACCCGAGAGGGGCCGUGCUACUUAGGCACGUCUGUACUGCAGGGUUGGGUGGUUUGGCAGAGAUCGAGGUCGGGAACUUUGCCUUCUGGGGGGUGUCUUGAGAUCUAAAAGACCAGCCGUUCCGGUCUAGUAACGGUAAGGGGGAGGCGCCGCGCAGGCUACUUUCCUUCCCCUGUGGACUUCUGGUGGACCUAGGAGCUGUGUCCUGUGACAGAGUCCUACCGUAUCUCCCCUGGAACAGCCCAGGGAGGGAGAGCUGGAGGAGGUCAGGAGUCUUGAGGUGGAUGUGAGGCGUCUUGUGGUUUUUAGCUCUCUUGCCUGUCCUUUUUGGAGGCCGAUAAUGGGAUUGUGUGCAGUUUCAGGGGACCUCCCCUGUCCGAGACAGCCCGGCCGUUCUCCUUGGCCUCUUCGUUUUGGGGGUGGACUGGAGACUUCGGUGAGCCCUUGCCUCAGCUCGGGUUAUGAAGGAGUUCAGGCGGGACUUGAGAGCCAGUCCUGUUUGUACUGCCGCGCCAUCCCAGGACGGAGGCGCGGCUGAGCGGCUGUGAUGCGUACUUUUUGACGGCCUGAAUCGGGUCGGGAGUACACAUGACUAGCCGAAUUUUGCUGUGUGCUCCCGACCCCUGCCCUGUGUUUCGGCUUCGGCCCCCGGCUCUAGCGGCCCACAGUGUAAUAUAAUACGUACAUACAUACUUAUUAUACUUUUUUUGGUUGGCCUGUUAGGUAUAUCAGGAGCCCUCCCCUGCCGGGACUGCCCUAACCGAAUUUUUGUUUGUUUGUUUUCCUCCCUUACGAUCCCGUUUUCUUUGGUGGUGUUUUGGGGGGUUGUUUCAGAGAGCCUUUGACUUUGCCCUAGCUGAGACUUGUGGACUCGCUCUAGCGGGACCUGAGAGCCCUUCGUGGUGUUUUCACUGCAGCGCCAUCCCCGGAUGGAGUGGCUGCGGAGUGGCUGCGUAGAGUGUUGGCAGUCUGAGUCGGGGUCGGGAGCACACAAGACUAACCGACUUGUGCUGUGUGCUCCCGACCCUUGCGCUGUGUUUCGGCUUCGGCCCCCGGCUCUCGCGGCCCACAGUGUAAUCUAAGCCAUACAUACAUACAUAUAUACAUGCAUUGUACGUAUGUAUGUACAUACACAACCUUAGGUACACAUAGAUUAUUACGUACAUUUUUACUAGGCAGCUGGCAGAGGUUAAGGCCUGACAUCUGCACCCAGCCGACCCGGGUUCGAAUCCGCCUGCCGACUCCUCGGGUGUUUGACGAGUUUCGAAUUGGAAUCAACUUGCAACCUGACCAGGAACAAAGUAAUUGCGCCGUUGAUCCGCUAGAUUUGGUUGGAUGCUGGUGGGUUGCUGAACCCAACGAAUACAUUCUGAAAUCGGAUGGGUUGAACGGAUUAGGGUGCCCCUCUCGCAGGGGAGAGCAGGGACUGCCUCGGGAAAGGGGCCCGCUGGUGAAGCUUAACCACCCUGUAACAACAUCAUACUAGGUCAGGCACUACUGGUAACGCGCCACCAUUGCCCCCGGGAGACCUGUCAGAGUCGAAGACCCUUCCGAUGGUGGAAGGUAUUGCGCCCCUAUUUUAUGGACGAUGGUGACCUGGGAUAAAGUUGACUCACGAGCCGACCAAGAAUGGAGUUGUAGUAGCUGGCCGCUAAAAAGGCCUCUCGAGAUACUUGGUCGUGCUUCGCGCGUAUUUGUAGAGCCAUACUGUGUACCAGCUACUACAUUCCCCGACCUUUGAAGGGAUCCGUUUCGGGCCCUUACGGCCACAUAUACCACCCGCAUGUGCCUACCUUCGCCUACCCUCGGGCAGUGUUUUUUUUCAUGUGUCGUUUUUACAUGCGCCUAGCCGUCAUAAGGUUAUUCAGGCACAGAGACAGUCCAGUCGGUUCAGCUACAUUUUUAUCACGAUAAUCGCUCACUGAGGCACCAAACCCGAAAUUCCACCAAGCAUGAUUGGUGCGAGUUGAACCGACGGCUUCAGGAUCGUGAGUUUCCAUGAGGUUUCAAUACCAAAUGUAGUAGCUGGCUGCUGAAAAGGCCUCUCGAGGUACUGGCGGUCGCGCUUCGCACUUAUAUGUAGAGCCGUACUGUGUACCAGCUACUACAGGAGUUGGGCCACUGUCGACCCGGCAGAUUCCGUUGGAUGCUGGUGGUGGAUGCGGAACCUGAGCGAUCCACUGAGAAGUUGACUAGGGUGACUAGAUGAGGGUGCCCCGAAAUACCGGGGAAGCAGUGUUUCGCAGGGUAGCUGCCACGGGUGAAGAUAUACCCCCCUGUUCCACACAUCAUACGUAGUAUACAUAUGCAUUGGAAUGCACCCAGCGACAAACCCUAGUGCCAGCCACCUGAUGCCACAUGGAGCAUGCGGAUCCCCAGGAGCAUGGUGCAUGCGGACAUCACCCAGCGGGCCUCCUCGACACCCAGGAGCUUGCAUGCAGUGCAGCAGGCGGGAGGGGAAGGCAAGGGGCAUACGGCAUUAAUGGUGAUGGCGGCGAUGGCAGCAAAGCUGGCGUGCCUUGUCAUAGCAAGCUACCUAUACCUCUAAAUCUAUGCAUGCCCCUGCCGAGCUGGUUAUUACCUGGGCCAACCAGGCUGGAGUCCAUAACCCAUACCCACAUUCCCUCCCUCCUCCCAUUCCUCAGCCAUUUGCCGACAAUCUACAUAUAUACAUAUACACACAAGUCCUCGGGCCCCCCCACAGCUGAUAUGGGCAGGAUGGAAGAAAGGCGUCACAUGGGGGGGUACCUAUGUCGCUCACACAGGACACAUACACCUUCAACACAGUAAAUCAAACACAGCAUGCACGUGCAUAAGCCCAACUCUCACUUGCAGCAGCAGCACCAACACCACCAUGGGACUUGAGAACAUCUCCACCCAGUUCCAUACAAAGCUGAGGCCUGCAGACAGAUCGAAAUACAUAAAUUCAGGGAGAGAACACCAAUUCAGACCUGGUCUACCUGUUGAUACUGGAGGUGAUGGUGCACCAUAUGCGGGGGCGGUAGGUCUGAGCCAAACGUAAGAUAGAAAUGUUCAUCUGGUCUGGUCUGGGUUGACACUACUGCAAUUAGCGGUGUAAGGUCCUGAAUUCGAUUCCCAGGGAAACCCUCAAUUUAGUCGGGAUGGCUAACUGCUGAGAUGUGGAGUUAAGGACACAGUUGAUGGAUCAAAUUCGCACGCUGAAUUGGUGGCGAUUGCCGAACCUUCCGUCUCUUCGGAUGUUCGGGUGAAUGGAUGAGGAGGGGUCCCUGAAGGCUGGGUCCGCCGCCUUGGGCUUACAGUUCGUAUGGCGAAGUACAGUGUGGUAGUGGUGGAUGGUGCUAUAAGGUGAUAAAUCGUAGAACUGACAAUGUGAUAAAGCGGCCCAGAAGCCUCCCACUCUGUAACAAUACAUUACAUAUAAAGACACGUUCAUAAAAAACCCACCUACGCACCCAUAUCGCCGCGAUUUAGAGCGUGCAUCCACAGUUACGCCUCUCACUCGAGGAUCAGAACAUAGUAACCCAUGCACCAUCCAGAGCUUCAUCACAUGCAGCACUAUUGCCGCGCAUGGUCUCAAAUAGAUGUCCAAGCAAGCUAGCAAAUACCUUGAGAGCAUAUUCGGCUGUGUACCAUGCAUACCCAAUUAAUAGGGUGUUGUAUCCUGAAAUCUGUUCUCUGUAGCUGUUCGUAUUUCCUUUCGGUUUAAGGUUCAAACUGUUCGAUCAUCUUUACCAUUAUCGCUGUAACGAACUGAAACCUGUUCACAUAUUCUGUUUAUGUUUACAGGACUGUCUAAUUUUACUGUUACUAACCUGGCGGCUUGCGACUGCUGUGCGUCGGAAAUGCAUUGAUGCUAAUCAAAUGCCACACCGCUGCGGAAAUCCAUACCUGCGCAUAUGCGGGGGCUUUACCUGGGUAAAGCUGGGAUCUGCGUCCCUGGUACUGUCUGAUUAUCGGUUGGGGAAUAUCCGUCUGCGGAUAUCGGUUCCAUCUACGCCGCCCAGUCAGACUGGGAACAUUCGUGAACAUGCUGGCGUUGGGCCCAGGUGGACUCUGCCUCAAUCGGUAUAUUUCGAUACCGCCAUUUAGUGGUCGAGAGGUACUACAUAGGGGCGGAAAGUAGGGGUGUUCCUACCAGCGGCCGCCUAGCUCCCCAUCCCAAUAAUAAUUCAUCUGUGUUUUGUGAAGCCUGGACAGUCAAGUUUUUUCCUAGCUAGCCUUGCGCCAGCAAGCCGGCGGUUAGGUGUACAACAGCAUACUCAUUCUGCCUGGUGGACCCGAACGAUUACAACACAAUUUCAAGCACCCGUUUCAACCUAUCUGCACAUACGUACAUACACAUACACAUACCGAAGAAGUACUGGUGGACUCCCUGUCGGGACACUUGGAGAAGAUCUCGCCACAGAUACCGGAUGCUGCCCAGCAGUAGCAAGAGCUCCAGAAAGAAGCGGACCACCAUCCCUGUACUCACACCUCUCCUGCCGUACAUAUCUGCCAGCCGGCCUACGCUUGGGUACCAUUCCAAACCGAUCGUCGUGGUGGUGAUGUACAAUGCCAUGAAGAAGCAAUAACCCACGGCCUGCCUCCGGUAUAUCUUGCCUGCGUGCGGCGUGCCAAUAAUAAUAGCAUGUGUACUUAUAUUACAUACUUUGUGGAUGAGAGGAGAUAGAGUGAUAGCUUAGGCCUGUGUGGGCUCUCGAUGGUCGGCCCGUGGUGUAGGCGAUGAUGAUGGCAGGAACACGGAAAUGCCUGAUCACUCUUUGUCUGAACACAGGUUUGCUGCAUGAUUGCCGGAAUCACCACUCCGUAAGGAUGAGGACUUGUAAUCGUAAGGUCGCAGCUGCAGCUCCAAAUCUGAAUGACUCAUAUCUGGUGCAGCCAACUGGAUCGCGCAGCUCUUUUGGUAAGGUCCGAGUCCGUCCCCGGCUGGCCCUUCCAUAACGAUGAUCAAUGAGUCGGUCAGCAACUAGGUAAUACUAUCAUAUGUACUAGGCCUAGUACAUACUGCUAGCUGUAGGCCAUGCUGCUGCUNNNNNNNNNNNNNNNNNNNNNNNNNNNNNNNNNNNNNNNNNNNNNNNNNNAGCAGCAUGGCCUACAGCUAGCAGUAUGUACGUAGCUAGCUACAUGACCGCAUAUAUGCCUAUGCAUAGGCAUAGGCAGCACACCCAUCGACCAAUCAACCCGCCAGCAUGGUUACAGCAACCGUCUCUCUCGGCCAUGUACCGAUCCGAGCCUGCUGAUAUAUGCUAUCCACGUAAGGAGGUGGAAACUGGGGGGGCGAGGGGGUCUUGCCGCCCCUACUUGUAUGACAUGAUAUGUAUGUAUGGACCGUCGGGCGGCUUACCAGCGUACAUGUCCCAUUUGUAUGUGAUCACCGCAGCUAUUGCGUCAGUUGAGAAGGCGCCAUGGACAUGGUUGGCAACCAGCGCGCCCAAUGGAGAAAGGUACACAUAUCGCGUCAUCCGUGCCACGUGCGGCAAUCCACAGAAACCAAACUCGUACCAACGGUGCUCCAAAGGCCUGUGAAUGAUGCGGGUCGGGAAUCUCCUAUCAUCACCAUGAUAAUUAGAUCAUGGAAAUGCAUGAAAGGAAGGUAACAUGUACUGGAUUAGGGAGGAAUGGGCGGGAGACGUUACUGCUGCAUGUGUAUGCUUAGCUUCCUGCAAUCCGGGUCUGGGCACAUUUGCCUGAGGAGUGCAGCAGCUUGGAUAGACUGCUGGCAAUGCUCAUCGGCAGCUGCAGGCGGAGAUCUGCUACGACAGCAAAAUACUGGUGGCUAAGGUAAGGGAAAUACCAACCCUACAUUGCCAGCCCCUGCAUUGACACACGCCAGGGCUUAGGCCCCGCAGUUAUCUUUCCUGAGCUUCCUGCAUGUGCUUACGGAAGGAGGAUUAUUAUCAGCCUGCAGGACGGCCGAAACACAAAUCCCCAAGACCUAGAAAUACAUGAAUAGAUACAUAGAUGCACACCUGCAACUUACCACACCCGGGAUAAGAACAAGUUAUCUUUCACCACUUUAAGCAGCCAGUCCACCAGUCCUUUGGCAUAGGACCUGAAACGGGACGUGCUCGCCACCCUGAUGUUCGCGAGCACCCCGCCGCCAUCGCGGUGUUCAUUCGCCAGCUCGUCCGCUACCUUCUCGGCCUUGCAAUUGUCCGUUGGGUCCGUUGGGUCCAUCUGGGAAUCCACAUACAUGGCAGGUGGCUGGCAGAGGUUAAGGCCUGGCUUCUGUUCCCGGACGAUCCGGGAUCAAAUCCACCUGCCGACCUCACGGGUGUUAGGGAGGUGUCGAAAUGGGAGGUGGCUUCCCAUCUUGUGGACGGUGUAUGACCUGAUAAUAUCAACUUGUGAGCUGACCACGAACUAAGUUGAGGCGCCAUUGAUACGCUAGAUAUAGAUGGAUGCUGGUAGUGAGUUGCUGAACCCUAUGAAUACAUUCUGAAAUCGGAUGGGGUGAAUGGAUUAGGGUGCCCCUCUCGGAGGGGCGAGCAGGGAACUGCCUCGGGAAAGGGGGGCGCUGGUGAAGCUAUACCACCCUGUAACAACAUACAUACAUGGUCAUAUAUGUACGAGCCAAGCGGCCAAGCAGCCACACAUCUCCCAAGUGAUGUCAUAGAGUAACGAUGCCGUAUAGCUAGACCAUAUCGUACACAGCAGUGCAUCUCGCCUACUCUGCGAUAUGCAUAUGCUGCAACUCGAGGCAUAAUUAUGCUAAAAGACUGGGUAUAGGAUGACACUUGGUAAAUACUUGGUACCGAGUGCUUGGUAUAAUUAUGAAGUCCUUGAUAAAUUUUACUUCAGAUUUGUUUGAAGUUCUUGGUAUGCGGUACUAAGCGCUUCGAGGGCAGUUAGUAUGUAACAUGGUGCUGAGUGAUUUACUAAGCGGCCUCUUAAGAAUGUUACCAGGUAGCUAUGAAGGACAUAUGAAGUGAGUACCACUAAGAUGAUAAGAAGGUGUUCCACCAGUGUAACACUCACACAUACACAUACACAUACACAUACACAUACACAUACACAUACACAUACACAUACACAUACACAUACACAUACACAUACACAUACACAUACACAUACACAUACACAUACACAUACACAUACACAUACACAUACACAUACACAUACACAUACACAUACAGAUACACAUACACAUACACAUACACAUACACAUACACAUACACAUACACAUACACAUACACAUACACAUACANNNNNNNNNNNNNNNNNNNNNNNNNNNNNNNNNNNNNNNNNNNNNNNNNNGUCGCAUCCAGCUGCUCAGGCGUACAUAAUUCUUCGCCAAUCCGUCGGUUACUAUGUGUGUGUUACAUGGUUACUAUGCGGUGUGGUUACUAUGUUACAUACCUACCAUGCCGUAGACCCCUAGCGGACACAGCAGCUGACCAGGCAAUUCAAAACAGACCUCGCUAAUAAGCAUACUUGGCUGCGGAGAGGUUAAUUGAUUAUUGCUCAGCACGACGUUGUAGCUACGCACUUCUGCUGCUGCCCCCAGUACGAGUCAUCAAGGUGCUCUGAUGUAAAGGAAAUACACAUGCGAGAUUGAGUCUGCACCUACAUGCAUCAUUUCAUGAAUAACACACAAACAUUUCAUAUCCCACCUCGUCAUCAGCUCAUCACAUAUAUGCAUGUACGUGCAUCACCAGCCAGCAUGCACCCGCCAACCUACCUGCGAUCCGAACACCAGGAGGUUUUUAUCCGGCCCCCCCCUAGCUACUUGGGUGACCACGAGCCGCUCAAUACCAACGGCAUCCAAGAACUUCACCAGCAUGGCAGGCCUCUUCCACGCCAGCUCAUUCCAUGCCUGCAUAUGGAUAUUGUAAGACCAGACAAAGAGUACUCGUGGGAGAUGCCAAGGGGAGCUGAUCCCUUCUUACACAUAUGCACGUCGGCGUGCGAUGCAUGGCGUGUGAUGAGGUGUGGGUCUAUGUAUGGGGUCCAGGUAGGUACCAUGCCACUAUUUCCCUAGAUACAUUGUAAUGUGGUAGCGAGUAAUGGGCGACAGGUGCCCCUUGCUAUAGCGAACAGCCUUUAAGGCUCGCGAGCACUCCGGGGUCACACCUGUCUGUCCGUCCAUCUGUCCGUCGUUUUAUCAUUAGCUGACAAGCAAUUGCUUGCAGCAAGCAUAGUCAUCAUGAACUCAUUGAUCCAGUAAUCUGUACAUGUUUACACUGAGCACCAGGCAUCCAUGCCGUCAAAUUGUUCUCACUUUAGCCACAUACAUACAUCGCGAAAUGUGUGGGUCCUCGUAGCACUGGAUGAAUGGAUGGAUGGGUGGAUCAGUGGGUCCGUUAUGUGCCCACCCGCCUUUCAGCAGGGAUGGACUGACUUACUGGUCGUAGGUGCGUGUCGUCAUAAACAUUGCGAUAACCUCAACUGGCAUCAUCCACGCAUGCAGUAUGAAUAAUGAAAUGUUAAUAUUACAUGCGUUAACUUUCCAAAAAUGGAAAUACCGGACCUAACAUCAUCACACCCAUACCUUCAUCACUGCCAGCCGAAGUGGUGCAGCCCUCGACACCUCGUUGGCCAGCAGCAGCUCCACAGCGUCCCAGUACCCAUUCGCCACCGCCAUGUCCAGCGGUGUGAGCCCGUAGCGGUUGGCAGGCAGAGGGGCCGAGUUGAUGACCCCCUCACCCUUUUCCAACAGGACCUUCAGGAGGCCUGCACCAUUUUUUCCUUCCGCCGCACUUCCAGCAGAGCCAGCAAAACGAAAUAGCAGUAUUAAGAAAGGCAACCGCAGUGUAAGCACACGCAGUGGCAGUCACAGCACCAGAUGCAGUGAUGAGUGACGCAAUACCACCGGCGGUGGUGGUGCAAUCAUGAGUUCAAUGUACUACCUUACGACUACUAGGGUUCUUGGGUAUGCCUCUGGAUGAUGUGUCCUAGAUGAUGCCAGUCAGUAGUGCGACCAUCUCGGAAGUCCUUUCCAGGCUGCGGUACGUACGGUCACACAUCCCGCAAAACCGAGAACGAAAAGCAUGUGAAAUCAAGAGUGCCCAGCGUAUGAAAGGAUACCGGAUGAAGCAAAAUUAAGUCGUGUAAGUAGCUAAACGAGUAAAGGCAUGAAGUCUGAGAUCCUGUACUCACUUUGGAAGGAUGGACGUGAAACCCCUGACCUUGUAAACGGCUCUCAACAUGCUGGCAGAGCGCUUCAGCACCACCUAAUUAUAGACGGGAUGUGUACCAUAAUGUGCCACAUCUAGUACCACAGCUCAGCUCGCGCGUGUGUGUGGGUGCAUUUGUACACCGUUCCAACUGUUGCUCCUAACUACUUUCUUGCUGUCCUACUUGGCGUCGCAGGUUCAGUACCAGUAGGCAAAAAGGAUUCGACGGCAGCACGUCAAUACCCCGGCCCAUGCAAUAAGCAUAUACCCAGCAGGUCAACAAGGCCAACAGAAUCUAGCUGCAGGUACAUCAUGUCAAUAAACCCACGCACACAGGCCAUCCAACUUGUCCCCUCACAUGUGCAGGAACGUGUGAUGACGAAACAGAUCAGGCACCACCGCGAGGCCGGGGAAGGUUUCAAUCAACGAGGAUAAGCGGUCCAGGCUCCGCUGAUUUGACUCAUCAACUAGCUGCAGCAGUGCAUUGGAACACACAUAUAGACAUACGUAUAUGUAUACAUACAUGAUUCCAUGGUAAUGCACGAAGAAUACAUAGACUGUCGUGAGGUAUUCAUGCACGCAUGUAUCUUCGUUGUUUGGGUAGCUAUAUAAUCAGCCAGAUCACCGGGCAGGCAGGCAGCAGGCAGGUGUGUGUGAAGGUCAUCAGCUACUAGUACUUCUGGCUGGAAUGCCGGCCACGCUCUGAUCCGCUUGAAUAAAGUACUAAGAGCAGCAACAACAAACCAGCAAACAGCAGUACAUACAAAGAAGGAAACCAGUUUAGUACGAUCUGGGGUUGGAGGCACCUCCACAUGCUAGCCGUCGUACCUGCUCCAGUGGCAGUUGUCGUGCCGAGAGAUCCAGUGAAGUCACACUCCCCCUAGAUGAGAAGGUCAGAACUAUUGGAGAACUACUGGGGCUGCCGUCAAACGCGGCGGGCAACAUCAGGGGCCGCAUCCUGACCAAUUCCUCAUCAAAGUAGAACAGCCAACGUAAGCCGACAUACCAUGGUACUUUCAUGCCAUCCUGUAUGUAGGUGGAACAAGCGGGGGCAUGUGGACGCAAGAAAUGAAGGUGGCUGACUUAGUGUGCUUGGCUGUGAGCGGCGGCGGAUUGCUUGACUAGGGAGGAGGAUAGCUGUGUUGAACAACUGCUCUAUUCGUAUUGAAGAAUAAGGAAGCGGUGAGUGCAAAUCACAUAGCAGUAGAAAGGUAAGAUACGAUAGUUACUUUCGUCGCGUGCAUGUGUGAGCGCUCGCUAGCGGGGUUCGGUCGCAAGGUUGUGUAUAGCUUCAAGUUAGCAUCGGUUGCUAGCUAGGCGGAAAUGGGCGGACAUAGUAGCUGCCCUACAGUACAACACACAGCCCGUCUAUAAACAUGUGCUAAAGCGCUCUGUCAGCAUCUACCUUGAGAGGCCUUUCCUACAUACCACAUCGGAUAAUUUAAAUCGGCGAGGGAGACCACCGGGUACCAAGAACGUGGAUGAGUGGAUGUGCAUGGAUGACCGAUCCCCUCACACCUUGAGGAUGCAUGCACCAUUAGCUCGGCAGAUGGGAUGGACGGUGCAGCCCGAAUGCUUAUAUCCCGCCUAUUUAAUUACCAUCACCCUAAAUACUGUCUAGGUAGAUGAACAAUAACAGCUAGGAUCAACGCAAUUAAAUAGUCCUAAGUGGUGGUUGGUAGUCCUAAGUGCAAAUUGGUAGUUCGAAGUACAAAUAUAAACUUCUUUGAAGGACAUGUGCAGGUGCCCAAGUUCAUCACCUUGAUAUUGAUGCCCAUAGCAUCACCGUGCGUGCUACAAGUCAGAAGCCAUGCGGGAUGCUGGAACAAGAUGCAUGACGGUGCGCUGUAGGGAUCAGCAAUCAUGUGCAGCACGACUCCCGUCGCCACGUCCCAGAUGCGCACGGUUUUGUCGUACGAGCCAGUCGCCAGGGUGUCUUCAUCCGGUGACAGUGCUGCGAGAUGCACCACAUCUUGAUGUCCCACGAAUCGCUGUGUUGUCUCGCCUGUAUGAUUGUGUGACACGGGGGGGGGUUAUAGCUUCACCCGGGGCCACUACCUGGCAGUUCCUGCCUUCCACGAUAUUUCCCACCUCAUCCUUCUCAACCAUGCCGGCUUCUACGACGUCGGUGACUUUUCGGGUUCAGCACCCACCACCAGCAUCAGUGGAAUCUGCCGAACCAACGGAACGUCAACUCCACUUCUAGUCGGCUCACAGAUCACUAGAACCGGGUCCAUCACCGUCCAUCGGCAUGUGGGUGCAUCCUCCAGCUUACGGUUGAGGGACGUUUUAUUCCACUUUGCCGGGGUCGAUCCUGGAACCUUCCAGGGACACUUAUGCCGCGCCUUAGCAUGUUUGCUGUGUCUGAAGCCCUAUAGCCCGUAUGUAUGUGCGAGUGCGUGGUGGGCGCGCCAGCAGGCAGACAUGCAGCAGGCACACCUACAUACCCGGCCGGCCAUCAAACAGAACGAAACCCUAAAGCCAUAAAAGGUACACCAAAAGAAUGUCACCACGUGCUUCACGAUACUUGUUACCACCAUGUCAGAAAUACUAAGGUGAUUGCAACUGUAAUCCUAACGGAAUUUCACAGGAAAGAUAAGGAAAGCCCAUCACCUGUUGAGAGGUUGGUGAUUGCAGCGGUUUUAUCAACUGAGCCUGUUAAGCAGCUCUCCCCGUCACUUGUGAACCGGGCACAACAGAUGCCCUUUGUGUGGAUGCGAUUGUAUCUACGCUUCUCCUUGCCAGUAUUGAGGUCCCACAGAAUUAAGCACGAAUCCUCCUCGUGGUUUGUAGUGAGCAUCUUGUCGAAGUCCUUGUUGACCUGGAGACGCACUCGCCUAGUUGUGGGAACACUGUCUGUAUUAACCACCUACAGGCGGGGGGGGCAAGAGGGAGUGCAGGUCGGGAGGGCAAGAGUUGCUUACCAUACGAUAGUCCCAUGCGGAGUUUUGUACCUUCCGUAGCUCAGGAACCAGGAAUGGCAAAUAUCCAAACAGCCCUGCACCCUUCAAAACGCAUUACGUGCUGCAUAGCCAGCUACCGACACCUCAACCCCAAGAUAGCUACCCGCCCCACCAUCCAUUAAUUAUCCUCCCUCCUGCCUGCCCGAACCCAGUCAUCAUGUCUGCCCCCAAUAAAGCCAGGAUCAAUCCACAGCCCCUGCUCCCUAAAAGAGCAGGCAGCACUGAGUCCAGCAAAUAGUUGCUAUCAACCAUGCCAUGCAUAUGCCAUGCCCGUCCUUCCCAGCCACUUCCCUGCCAGCAUUUAUGCAUGAUAACACACACAGACACACACACAUACAUACCAGCAAAAGUUUCUUGGAUUCAAGACUGUACAGCCGGACCUUCCUGUCUGCACCAGAAGUGACCAUCUUCCCGCGCAUUUGAAGAGUUGUCCUCCCGCCAUCAUCCCCAGACACGGACCCCGCAUCGUCGCUGGCCACAAGGUACUCCCCGUAAGCGCGGUCGUCCUUGUUUGCAAAGGGGUUCACCAGCUGCAUGAACUCGUAAUCGACAUGAAGCCUCCAAAGCUGCUCGCCCGUUGUGAGGUGGUAAACGCAUAGCUCCUCUGCAGAGGUAUGUAGAUGUUGGUAUGUGUGGCCAGCAAGCAGGGAAAGCAGGAAAAGCAUGCGAGGCAACCUGCUGCUGGAUGGAUUGGCAUUUCUCCGCUGGGUCGUCAAUCCCUUCCUUGGGUUUUGAUACGGCGCUUGGUUACACCAAGUCAUACUACAUUCCUUAAUACUGGAUCGGCCCAGGCGUUAGGUAGGUUUCUACAGGUUUAGUUAAAACGUUUCUUCUGCCGGUUUACCCUGAUGAUGCUACUUGUCAUCACAUAUUGGGCCCACAACAAAGGGGCAAACUGCUGAUGGCAGGACCCUGAGACCUAGCAAUUAUGCUGAGCAGUAUGGUUGCCACGGUUAGUAAUGCACGUACAGCAGCUCCUUUUACGUCUACUACUACUGGCAACGUGUAUGGCCAAAAAGACAUUGGUUGACGGUUGGUCGUUAAUGUCAAUCACAGCCACUUGUCAUCAUCAGACUGACAGCAGAAGGGAGAAAUGUUCAGUCAGACAACAACUAACCACGGCAACAGCAACAUGAAUGCCCCACCUCGAAAACGGCCUUCUCCUCCAGCCUCUCUAUAAAUGUUCAUGACGAGCAAAAGUGUCCUGUCGCGUGACACGUCAGCAUCGUAUACAUUUUGCAGCCGCCUGUCCCACCACAGCACCUUGUCAUAGCUCUCGCCCUGCAAGUCAGACACCCUGAUGCUGCCGUCUGAGCAUACCGCUCCAAAACGUGUUGGAUAGAGAGGAGUUUCCUGUCCUGUCCGCUCAUCGUCCAUAUGAUCAUGAGUUUCCCGUCCUGUCGGCUCAUCGUUUUCCUCCUCAUUUUCCUGCAGGCCGUCGAUCCUAUAAUAGCGCUUCUUAAACUCUCUGAAAUUUUGGGCUGAGCUCAGGAAGAAGCAGCCCGAUGUGGCGUUGCACAGAGGGUCAGGCUCCUGCAACGCAGGAUGGACCUGCCAAACGCACGAAAUGCAAUCAAGGACACAGGACAAGCUCAAAAAAGCGGGAGGAUUUUGUCUAAGCUGGGCAACAAUCUCUAGUCCAGCCUGGCAGGAGGUACAAUUACUAGGUUAAACAAACUCGGCGCCGUAGCUUAAUUGGUAAAGCACCACCUUAACCGGUGGGAGAUGUGGGUUCAAAUCCCACCGGCGUCACCAUGGGUUGUGAGACUUGUUCGCUGAUAAUGUAUCAGCCUCUGAGGCUCUCCUCAAGGUAACCCGUGGUGUAUAUCACAUACAAGUCAUCACGACAAGUCCGUCACCAGAAGGCUAGGCGCCGAGGAGGAGGAGGAAUGGAUGCACAAGGUCAAUGGAGCUACCCAAGCAAAAGUACCUAUCAAAAAGCUGCUGUAGCAUGGCUAGGCCGAACCUCGCACGAGCCUUAGAUGGUGACCUAUACGAGGGGUGCGGAAUCCCCCAGCGGGUGAAGCGGGUCGUAGGGGGUUAACUACCCUCCGCCAGGACAAAGCGCAGGGUGCUGUGUAGAGUGCAGUAGUGUAAGGGUAGGGAGGCGGUGCGACAUGCACGUGGCCUGAAGUUGUAACAGGAGCACCAGACUCCGGCAGGUUGCGAUAACUGGUCGUGUCCCACAGCGACAGUGUGGCGUCCUCACCAACGAUAGGUGGAAAAGGGCCCGUAGAGGUGACGCGGUGGGAAUAUAGCAUAUAGGACUGACUAGGUGCAGACCUCAGAGCGUUCCCCCCUUAACACAC